Molecule: long non-coding RNA, 80119 nt
Filed under: Solanum tuberosum (potato)
Lineage: Eukaryota; Viridiplantae; Streptophyta; Magnoliopsida; Solanales; Solanaceae
Description: long non-coding RNA (STUB_LNC004414)
Rfam family: MIR8007 microRNA precursor family (bases 72574-72798)
Source: RNAcentral
CCUUUGUUCUGAAAUUUAUGCCCAAUGGAAGUCUUGAGAAUUGGUUGUACAAAGAAGAUCGCCACUUGAACCUUCAUCAAAGAGUUACUGUAAUGCUUGAUACAGCUAUGGCAGUUGAAUAUCUACAUCAUGGUCAUGUAACUCCAAUAGUUCAUUGCGACUUAAAGCCAGCCAACGUUCUUUUGGAUGAAGAUAUGGUGGCUCAUGUUGGUGAUUUUGGUAUCUCUAAAAUUUUAGCCAUAAGCAAGUCCAUGGCUUAUACAGAGACAUUGGGUACUCUUGGAUACAUUGCACCAGGUAUAAAAAAUCUACUCACUUUGAUUUUCUUUUAUCAUAAUAAAGCCUCUCCAAAUUCUACAACUAUAAAAACAAGCUUUUAUUUAUGCAGAAUUAUUGUUGUAUUUCAAUUGAAUUAACUUUUUUCAAUCCUUUUUAAGAAUAUGGCUCGGAUGGAAUAGUGUCUGCUAGUGGCGAUGUUUAUAGUUACGGCAUCAUGUUGAUGGAGGUUUUGACGAAAAGAAGGCCAACAGAUGAAGAGAUAUGCAAUGAAAAUCUUGACUUGAGGAAAUGGAUCACACAAUCAUUUUCAGGGAGUAUGAUGGACGUUGUGGAUGCCAAUCUUUUCUCCGAGGAAGAACAGAUCACUUCAGAAAGUGAAAUCUGCAUAGCGUCCAUGAUAGAAUUGGGUUUAGACUGCACAAAGGAAAUGCCAGAAUCAAGAAUAACCAUGAAAGAUGUAGUCACGAGGCUUAACAAAAUCAACAACACAUUUCUGGAAACAUAGAAGUCAGCAUCUCUUCCUGUUCUGCAAGUUCACAUGUUGCUUUUUGUUUGCCUGGUUUCUUUAGUCGAUUGUAAUUCAGAGUGUUGCAUUUCCCUUAUUUUUGAUUUCAGAUUUGAGUAUAGUUUUUAAUAUGGUUGAAUAAAAUUAAGAAAUAUUACGGAGUGUUUAGCUGCACUAUUUUACUUUCUGUUUCUGUUUGCGACCUCUACUUCAUAUUUUUGAUUCAUUAGUUUCUUCAGAUUGAUAUAUUCAAGUAUUCAAUAAAUGGAAUUCUUAGUUGGACUAGUUGAGUUUUGGAGGUGAAUGAAAGACCAGAUCCUAAUAAUUCAAUUGUUUUUACACCGUCGUACGUGCAUAUAAUUUAAACUCAAACUUAAAUUUGAUCUCCCUGUUUUACAAUAUCUGUCAGAAGUUUCUUUAUAUAUUGACGAUUUGCUUGUUACGGACAAUGACGAGCAAGAAUUGCUUUGGAUGGAGUCUUUUUUGGGAUGCAUGGAAGCAUAUCAAUCAGCAAAAGUAUGUCCCGGAGAUGCUGAAACAAUUCAGAAUGCAAGUUGCAAACAAUUCCUACACCAUUUGUUUUGAAUACCAAAUUUUCUAAGGAAGAUUUUGAAAAAAUCAGGGCAUUUCCACAUUGUAGUUUCACUGGACGAAUGCAGAGUGCGCUCUGCUUCUGUCAAGUGAAUAAAAUCUUCGCUUUUGUAUAAAGAGUAGUUCCUCUGUUUUCUCUUUCAUUUCCUAUGACGACUCUCCAAAUCCCAUCAGGCGCUAACCUAAUAUUUUCACAAAACCACCAUAACUUGACCAGCAACCUUUGAUGUCAUAUCAAAGGCAGAGUUGACUCAACAAGAUUGAAGGCCUAAAACAAAACUUUAAGAGGGGGCCCUAAUUUUUUUUCUUCAUCAUAUAUACUCUUAUUUAAAAUCUAUUUUUCUAACUUUUUAUAGAUGUGAAGUCAUUAGUUACUGUUUUAUAAUCGAUUUUUAUUAGUAAUUCCUUUUCAAUUGAUAAUAUAGCUAAUUCAUUCAAUCUCUUUGAUCUUAAAUAAGAUUUAAUCAUUUUUAGUUGAUAAAGUAAUAAAGAAAAAUACUUACAUGUUUGUUGUGUGUACGUGAGCGUCACCGCAAACACACAGCAUUAUAAGAGCAACAAGUUUUCUAGAAAAAAAAAGUAUAAAUUUUUUCACAAAGCAAAAAAAUGAUUGGUACAAAAUGAUGAGCUGAUUUAAUUUUGAUACCUUGUUAUUUGCUCAUAAAAAGUGCAGAAAGAACUUCAAAAGGCUUUGUAAAUAUAUUAUUAAUAUGGAAGUUGAAAGGAACAAAUAUAAAGACUGAAAUUUGAAAAGGUUUUUGUUAUAAAUUGCUUAUUUAUGUUUCCCUUCUCAUUUGCCAUGGUAAUGCAUUGAACCUUGGUUCUAGAGUCUUUAAUGGAAUUAAUAGUGAAUUAUUGUUUUCAAUUGCUUAUUUAAAUUUUUCUUGAAAUUACCAUGAUAAUACAAUUUUUUUUUUUUUAAAGGUAAUUAAAAUAUUAUUAUUUAAUAUUUAAUUAGAUAUUUUAUUAUAUUUUAAUUUACUAUAGGGGAAAAAUUGUAAUCCAGCUUUUAAGAUAGGAGUUUCUCACUUUUAAUAUACUAGUUUCUGGGUAUGCGCUUUGCGCGUGUAACCCGUAUUAAUAAGUAUAUUAUUUGUUAAAAAGUUAAAUUUUAUUAUAUAAUGUGAUUUGACUUCUUUUUUAAAAAUUGUGGCUAAAUGAGGUUUCUACUGUCUCACUAUGGCAUCACUAUCUAGUGGGAUGGUUGAAAUUUCUCCAACCCUUUACCAGAUGUUUCGAAUUUAAACCCUUAUGAAUGAAGAACCCUCUCAAUGGGGAGCAUUUUACCCUUAUUGGGCAUAUCUGGUGCCACUAAUCUAUUGGUCGAGUGGGCUUCAAAUGCAGGAUUCUUAAAAUAGUCAGAAGGAAUUAUGACAUAGAGGAUUCAAAAUUUGUAUGUAAAUCUUUAGUUAGUAGUUAGCAAAUUUCAAUUUAGAGGAUACAAAUCAAGAUAUUCUUCAAAAGAUGACAGAAUAAAAGCCGAUUCUUCACUUAGUUAUUUUCCACCAUCAUCAAUGGAAAAAUUGAAUAAUGGAGGGGAAAUGAUGGCACUGAUAGCUUCUGGAGAAGCUCAAGACCGUUACCAGAAUGCAAUCAUCUCAGUGAAACCCAAAGAUGAUGUUAAUCGAACCUAUCAUUAAUCUAAUUCUAUAUGUUUCAUCUUUAAAUAAUAAAAAGAAAGAGUAACCAUUCUAUCAAAUUCAUUCUUAAAGGUGAUAUUAUAAAUACAAAGAACAAAAAAGAAACACAUGAGCAAGACAAUUAAUUAUUCUUUUUUGAUCUUGUCUUGAUAAUGAAAAUUUAAACAAAAUCUAACGUAACGAUCAAUCUGUUUUUGAACACAAAAAAUCCUAAACUAAAAACAAGUUAUAAACAAAGUAACAAUUCAACUAUAUAAAUAGAGAUAAAAAUGGUGUUUCAGUAAUUGAAUUCUUAUCUAUCCUCAUGACUGCAUAAGGGAGAUCACACAACUUUUCCCACAAAUUACGACAUUAUUUCACCGCUUUAGAGCUCCUACACAUAAGAAUUGUAGGAGUAGCACAUAAAAAUCUUUUCUGGAAAAGUUAAAUUUAUAGGACAAAAAUUGUUGAAUAUGAAAAGUCACAUAGAAAUUUGAAAGGUCAAAUAAUAUUAAUAUAAAUAUAAAAAGGAUAAUUCAUGAACAAUAACUUUGUAAGAUACAUGUAUCUAUUUAAUUUCUUGUUUUCAAGGAGUAAUUGCUUAUUUGUUUUCUUUUUCUAUUUAGUUUUGUCAGGUUUAUAACAUUUUUAGGUAUUAAAUAAAUAUGUUUAUCAUGAACUAUCACUAUGAAAUAAAUUUAUUGUAUCAUAUUAGUGAUAUGAUACUAUUUUUAUUAUAUUUUAACAUGAUGUAGAGGCAAAAUGGUAGUUCAACAUUGAAGUUUGGAGCUUUCCACUUUUAAUAUAAUAUAUAUAUAUAUAUAUAUAUAUAUAUGCAUGGGGUCUGGUGGAUCCUUAUACUUGUAUCAGUUUGUAUUAUGAACCCUUUUACUUAACCCUUUGUCAUCUGGACCCUUAAACUCAAUAAAACACAAUUUAACAAACCCCUCUAACCAUUGACUAGGCUUAUGUGUCAUUAGAUGUCUGAGUUGGCAAAAGUGUGUAACUACACACGCCUAUUAAGGCGAGUGAGGAGCAUUUCUACUUAAAAAAUAUUAAAAAUUAUAAAAGAAAUAUUUUUUUCAAAACAACUAAUUAAAAAUAUUGUCUUUUUCACCUGUUACUCCUCCUUUUCAGCCAUAUCCUUCCCUGCCCAACCCCUUUUUCUUUCUUUUCACAAUCUAUUUUCAUCUAUUUAGAUGAUCUUGGCACCUUCUUGAGUCCACCAAUUUACCGACGGAGAAAGAGAGCGGCGCUGGUGGUGCUCGCCGGACACCACUGAUACGCAGUGGAGGGGGAGAGAGGUGCGGCUAGUCAACGGAGAGGAGAACGAGGUGGGUGAGGGUGCGAAAAUGUACUGGCUCUAUGUUUUUAAAAAAACAUUUCCUUCCUACUGAUUUGAGAUAAUUACUCAAAACUUAGCUCAAAGGCUAUCUUGGAAAUCUCAGUUUCCUCUCUUGCUUCAUUUAGAAAGCGAUAACUCUUUUCUGGAAAACUAGCCCGAAGGCUCUUUGGAAAUCUCAGUUUCCAAUCUUAUUUAAAUGUAAAAACAUUUCUUUAAAACUUCUUUGGGAAUACAUAGACUCCCUAAUAACUUUUGAAAAAUGAAUUCAACUUUAUAUUCUAGACUUAACUUGAAACUCUUUACUCUUUACUUGACUUAAAACUUGAGCCUUAAAAUGAAGUUAAAACAUUCAAUAAAGACUAUUGAACACUUUAAAGACUUGCUUGGACUUACUUCUUAACUUCUAAGAUUGACUCUAACUUCACUUGACUUUGAGCCAAACUUUCCUCGAAUUGGAUUAUGAAUUCAAGGGUAAUAAUCUCAUGUUCAUGGAUGAGUUCGGGAGGUUUAAAUGUACCUUAGAGUGUUGGAAACAACUAUAAAACAUAGGUACAAUACCUAGGAACAUGUAUGAAAAAGUGGGGAAAGAAUGGGAAAACUUGGCGCUCUUGGCGCUCUGAGAGGCACGGAGCGCCAGACCAAAAUCUUCAGAGGGGGCCUGCUGGCGCACUGAUAGGCGCGCUUCCCCAAGGGAGAAAGUUCAGAGCCCCUCUUGGGGCGCGCUGGCAGGCACGACGCCCCAGCCCUUUUCCCCGAAAACUCGACUUUUUUCCUUCCUUUUUCCAUCUCUAAACCUUCUAAACCUCAAAGGUUCCAGCUCCAAACACUUAGAAUCAUUAAAACCCUCAACAAACCAAAGAUUCAACUCAAAACACCACCGGAAACAUACACCAACCCAACAAGAACUUCAUCACAACACAACUACAACUUCAACAAACAUCACCACAAGAUUUCAACAACCACAACUAAAUCUUUUCUCGGAAUUUAAAAUGAGUUUGGCGUGUGGGGGAAAGAACCAACCCAACACUAUAAUCUCACAUACCUAGAAGGGAUCACCCCCGACGAUAUCCACGACGAAAACCUUGCUUGAUCUUCACUUUCUCCUCUUCUUCUCCUCUUCACUCUCAAACCCUUACUCUCACUCUUUUAAAAUGAGAAAACUGAUCAAAAAUCAGUCUAACACACUAAUAUAUAUCCAAAAGAAAAGGCUAGGGAAAAGACCAAAAUACCCUUACAAAUUUCCGGACGGACUUCCCUGCCAACUGCCCAACUUCCAAAGGGCAUAACUUACUCAUACGAACUCGGAAUCAAGCAAACUCGGCGGCGUUGGAAAGACCAUUCCACGAACUUUGCAAAAAUAACUGGAACUACACCUAAAUCAUCCUGAGCUAGGAUUUAUAACUGCUCAAAGUUGGCCAAAAACUCACUUUUUCCCAUACUUGGACAAAAAAAUUUCCAGAUUUUUAAAAUUCUUUCCAAAAAUGAAAAUAUCAAAUUUUAAGCCUUUUCGUAGUUAUUUCAAAUUGCCGGAUCUUACACCUUUCCCUAAGCCUACAUUACAAGCCAAUGACAAGUCCUAUUUGAUAUCAUUUUUUGUGUUCUCACAUUAGUGGAUUCUUACAUAAAGGCCAAGCAUAUGGUAUCUCAAUCUCAUGCAUUGAACAUCUUUCUGAGUGUGAGUGACUUUCAAAAAUGUCUUACGAUCUAAAUUAUUCUAUUGUGUGAAGUAGGACUUUCAUUUGUUGCAAGGGCACUUGAAACAUGACGUUAUGAAUAGUUCUAGUCCCUUUAUUUAUGCAUAAUGAACUGAUCAAAUACUUAAAUAUGUUUGAGAUACCAUUUGAAACUAUAUGGAAUACUCAGAGUUGACCUCAUAUUUGUUUGAAAGUAGUUGAAUGUGGUUCAUAUGCAUAAUACUAAUUGUUGGUACCAACUAAAGUCAAGACAUUAUCGAACAUGAACCGAUUCCUUUCCCAAAAGUUUCUUUUAAAAAAAAAAAAGAAUAACAAUUUUGAUUAUAUGAACUACGUUUGACCUGAUUCUUGCUAUACAAGAUAUGUAGACAAUCUUACAAUAGGGCUCGGUCUCACAAAAUAAAAUUUUAUAUCCUUGAAGGAAUGAAAUUGGAUCAUUUUAAAUUUUAAAAAAAAAUGAUAAAUUAAAAUGUGUUUCAAAGUUCCUCAAUUUAAAAACUGAGGAUAUUUUUAUUUGUUAAAAAAAUCACUCUCAUUACUAAGAAACAAGCAUCGUAUUUGCAUUUUGACCUUAGGGAAUAAACACCCUAGAUGCAUCAUGUUUUAUUUAUAGAGAAUAAACACUCUAGUUGCAUUUUGACCUUAGAAACAAACACUCUAUCAUUUCUCAUUUCUAGGGAACAAACACCCUAGUUGCAUUUUGACCUUAGGGAGCAAACACCCUAGGUAUACAAUCUUUCAUUUCUAGGGAACAAACACCCUAAUUGCAUCAAUGUCUUUCACUUUUCUUUGGUACAAAUAUUUUUCAUUUAUGCUAACAGCUUAAUAAUAUUUUUCUGGUGCAAACUGGGCAAAAAAAUAUUGUGGUGAUUCUAUUUGAUGAUUCUGUUAAGCGAGAUCUUUCUAAGUAAUAGAUUUAGUAUAGCAGGACCCUCUUGGACGAUGGAAAUUAGUAUAGCAGGACCCUCCCGAACAAUGAGAUUUAGUGUAGCAGGACCCUCCUGGACAAUGGGAAGCAGGACCUUCCUGGACAAUGUAAAUUAGUAUAGCAGGACCCUCUUGAACAAUGGGAAUUAGUAUAGCAGGACCCUCCUGGAAAAUGUAAUUUAGUAUAGCAGGACCCUCAUGGACAAUGGGAAUUAGUAUUGCAGGACCCUCCUGGACAAUGGGAUUUAGUGUAACAGGACCAUCCUGGACAAUGUGAUUUAGUAUAGCAGGACCCUCAUAGACAAUGGGAAUUAGUAUAGCAGGACCCUCUUGGACAAUGGGAAGCAGGACCCUCCUGGGUAAUGAGAUUUAGCAUAGCAGGACCCUCCUGGACAAUGAGAAUUAGUAUAGCAGGAUCCUCUUGGACAAUGGGAAGCAGGACCCUCCUAGUUAAUGGGAUUUAGUAUAGCAAGACCCUCCUGGACAAUGGGAAUUAGUAUAGCAGGAUCCUCCUGGACAAUGGGAAGCAGGACCCUCCUGGAUAAUGAGAUUUAGUAUAGCAAGACCCUCCUGGACAAUGGGAAUUAGUAUAGCAGGACCCUCCUGGACAAUGGGAUUUAGUGAAACAGGACUCUCCUGGACAAUGGGAUAGCAGGACCCUUCUGAACAUUGGAAAUUAGUAUAACAGGACCCUCCUGGAGAAUAGGAAUUAGUAUAGCAGGACCCUCCUGGACAAUGGGAUUAGUAGGACCCUCUUACAUAAUAGGAUUUAGUUUAACAGAACCCUUCUGGACAAUGGGAUUAACAGGACCCUCCUACAUAAUGGGAUUUAGAUUAGCAUGGCCCUCCUACAUAAUUGGAUUAGCAGGACCCUCCUACAUAAUGAGAUGUAGUUUAGCAGGACCCUCCUACAUAAUGGGAUUUAGUUUAGAAGGACCCUCCUACAUAAUGGGAUUAGCAGGACCCUCCGACAUAAUGAGAUUUAGUUUAGCAGGACCCUCCUUACAUAAUGAGAUUUAGAUUAGCAGGACCCUCCUACAUAAUGAGAUUUAGAUUAGCAGGACCCUCCUACAUAAUGAGAUUUAGAUUAGCAGGACCCUCCUACACAAUGGGAUUAGUUUAGCAGGACCCUCCUACAUAAUGGGAUUAGCAAGGUCCUCCUACAUAAUGAGAUUUAGUUUAGCAAGACCCUCCUACAUAAUAGGAUUAGCAGGGCCCUCCUACAUAAUGGGAUUUAGAUUAGCAUGGCCCUCCUACAUAAUUGGAUUAGCAGGACCCUCCUACAUAAUGGGAUUAGCAGGACCCUCAUACAUAAUGAAAUUUAGUUUAGCAGGAUCCUCCUACAUAAUGGGAUUAGCAGGACCCUCAUACAUAAUGAAAUUUAGUUUAGCAGGAUCCUCCUACAUAAUGGGAUUAGCAGGACCCUCAUACAUAAUGAAAUUUAGUUUAGCAGGAUCCUCCUACAUAAUGGGAUUAGCAGGACCCUCAUACAUAAUGAAAUUUAGUUUAGCAGGAUCCUCCUACAUAAUGGGAUUAGCAGGACCCUCAUACAUAAUGAAAUUUAGUUUAGCAGGAUCCUCCUACAUAAUGGGAUUAGCAGGACCCUCAUACAUAAUGAAAUUUAGUUUAGCAGGAUCCUCCUACAUAAUGGGAUUAGCAGGACCCUCAUACAUAAUGAAAUUUAGUUUAGCAGGAUCCUCCUACAUAAUGGGAUUAGCAGGACCCUCAUACAUAAUGAAAUUUAGUUUAGCAGGAUCCUCCUACAUAAUGGGAUUAGCAGGACCCUCAUACAUAAUGAAAUUUAGUUUAGCAGGAUCCUCCUACAUAAUGGGAUUAGCAGGACUCUCCUAUAUAAUGGGAUUAAGUUAUUUUCUCCUAGGAUAAACACUUCCUAUUCUGAGACGUUAAUUGUUAUUUUCUUCUAGGAUAAACACUUUCUAGUCUGAGUUUAUUAUUAUUUUUUUUUUAAAUCCACAUUUGCUAAUAACUCACAAAAAUUUUCCAGUGAAAACUGGGGCAAAAAAAAUUGUUUAUUUCUUUAGUUUGUGAUGGUUUUUAGGUUUUUUCAAGCGAAACAUAGAUUUGAAAUUCAAGAACAAAGUUUCAACUGUUUUCAGAAUGAUCAAUCCCCAUGAUAGCUAGAAUCAACUUCUUCAAUGCACAUAGCAGCCUGACCUCCUGACACACGCUUCUAUUCAACUUCUGAUCAAGAAAACAUGCAGUCAUUCAAAAACAUUUUCAAAUUGUCAUUUUUGAAGAGUGCCAAGGACUCACUCUAAGUGGUAAAUUAAACAUCGAAUUCCAUUCAAGAUCAAGAUACUCACCGAAAAUCAAGGUGAUAUCUCAAAGUCAAUACUCAAGUGCAGACUCAAGAGAAGCUGCAUAAAUAGGAGCUUGUACUUUUAUUUUCCUUUUGACUAUUAGCUUUCAUUUUUUUUAUGUAAAGAUAAGAGCCGUGACCUGGAGCCUCGGUGGAACCUCACUUAACUUUCAACUCAUCACUUCAUCUUCUUGAACUACACGUGACCUGAAUCCCUUAUAACUUGGGAUAUGUAGAAUGUCCAAGACCAAGACUCGGUCGCACAAAUUUUUUAUUUUGAAUAAGAGUCUGGCCAAAAUUUGUCGCAUUGUCUCGAGUUGUCCACUCGGGUAAGCUAGUCUAGAUACCUAUCUUCUUCAUGGUUUGAACCUAGUAAAACUACGGACUCUGUAAACUCUACCGCCUAACAUGGCGACUCGUAUAACUAUCUUGUAGAGACCGAAAAUGCUGAGGCCGUUACUAAUCUAGAGUUGUUUCGUUGUAGGCUUGUAGCCUUCACCUUGCAGGUGCUAGGUAUAAAGACCUUCAACGACUUAAUUUUUGUUUUCAAGAGAUAGUUUAAAAAAACUUUACUACUUCUAAUAUAAAAAUUAUGUACUCACCUUUUGGAUACGACAUUGAGAAAUAAAAUCGACAAAAUACCCGAAUAUGUAGCAAAUUUACUCUUUUUCCUCAUGAGUACUCCUUUUGAUGGCUGAUUUAGCACAUGGGAACAUAAAUUCUAGUCAUAAAAGCAAAGCUCUUCAUUCUAGAAUGUAGAAGUAGAUAUAUUUAAAUUUGGAAAGAUAUCACCUAUGGAAACUCAACGUGUUAUUACUCAUGAAAAUUUUCUAGAUUUAUAAAAAAAGAUAAGUUUUAAUCUGCCUAUUUACUGUAGCUUCUCCCCAAAAUUAACAAGUAGUUUUUUCUUUGUUUUGAAAUGUACUUGUAGUUAUGAAUUAACCAGUAGCUACCGAAGAUAAGAUAUUCCUACUUCGUUCCUCAAAGUGAUAUUGGUGUGUUGAAAAUAUGGUAACCGCUAACUUGGCGUACGUAUAAAAUUGUAUGCUUGUGUUAAUAUAGAACAACCUUAUGUUGUUUUCUUUCUUUGAAACUGAUUUGUUUAACUAAGAUGUAUAUGUUGCGUAUCCGGGAGGCUUUCUUGGUUAUUCGGAGAAGUUGUUGAAAAAAGCAUAUGGCGCCAAUCCUCUGUUAUGUCUUUCCAUAUAGUUAUCAUGUAUUUGCUCAAUUUUUUUUGGAUGUAUCUCCCCAUUUUCAUUUAAUUGGCAGCAUAUGUCCAUGGGUACAAAAUCUAAAUUGAAACAUUUUACCAUAUUGUCUACUCAAUAAGACAACAUUAUUGCUCUCUUUUUCCCUACAUAACCCUUACAAAUCAUAUGAGUUACCUUGGUUUGCACCAUCCUGUGCAAUAGGCAAACUUUUGUUUUCAUUGCAGUUGCCUUUUUGAGCUUGACGUUAUAGACAGAAGUUGUACAAUGUCCAUGACAACCGAACAAACAUAUGAAACUCUUGCUAUCAAGGUUCACACAAAGAUUUUACACUGAAAUAUAAAUAACACAUUUCCAUGCUUUCUCAUUAUAAUUUAGUACUGAUAUCAUGUUAUGUAGAUCUUAAUUGGUGUGUUCUUUUUUUGACAAUUGGUUGGUGAACUGUUCACUCUUCAGCUACAAAGUUUCUACUCAAAAUUUCAGAUAAAAUGACUACUAUACUGGUCAUUUUAUUUUGCACGGAAAGAAAUCAUGCUUUUCCCGAAUUGAUCAACAUCUCUCCUUCCUAGAGAAGGAAUGAAGAAACGAAAAUUGCGCUGCCCAGAAAUAUGCAUUCCAAAUACUUGAAAUAACAUAUUCUAUGGUCUACUUAUUAUCUUGCAAUACUUUCCUUAAUUUGAUGCAGCGAAAACAAAGCUUGCUUUCAGCAAACAACAAAGAAACUAAUAAAAUAAUUUAAACCAACAAACAUUGGAAUGACAAUAGGGGAAAUUACAUGACCAUUGAUAUGAAAAGAAAUCUUACAGUUUUCUCAGGAAUUGAGGAGUUAGCUUUCAAUAUGAGCUACUCAAAGAUCUCGUACAUCAAUAUCUUUGUUGUACUUGCCCUUUUAUUCCACGUGAAAUCCUAAAAAGGUUCUAUGUACAUUUGGAGACUCUUCAAUUGUUUGGUCCAUCAGUAAGGUAAGGGAUAAAUUUCUCUUUAGAAAUCACCAAUAUCAUACCUUAACUAAAAGUCUCAAAUUUCUAAAUUAUAGUGUUACUUAAAAGAAAAUUUAUAUUGCAACGCAAGAAGUGAACAUUAAACAAACUCGAUAGAAAGAAAAAUAGAAGAAAAGAACCUAAUAACCUUAUCUUUUCUUAACUUGUAAUAUGUAUCUAGCUGCAGAAGAACAUCAAUAAGUAAAUUAGAAAGCGUCGACAGAAAAACUACAAAAUUUAACAUUGAAAGAGUGAAUAAGAAAGAGGGAAGGACAACAGAGAAACUCACCCAAAGCUGGAUGACACCUCGAAGUAGCAAAGGAGAAUGAGAGUUGUAGAGAAAGAUAAUAUAGUGAAAGAAAUUGAGAAUUGUAGAGUUAAGUCUAAUCCAUAAAAGUAAUAGUUAGAUCUAAAGUGAUACAUGUGUUUUACUGAAGUAGAAAGGCAAGGCAUGUAUCUAAUUAGUAAUUACCAAUGAGAUAGGUCCAACUCUAUAAUACAAUUAACUAUCAAUUGAAUUGUUAACACCUUGUGUUUACUUAUUAAUAAUAGAAAUUUUCAUACUAAAACAUAGGGAGGUACAAUUUUGGUCCUUUACCUGGUAAUACAACUACUGUAAUAUAAUGCAUCUCAAUUAGCAAGAGGUGGUUAGCUUUGGAUAUCAUAGCUACCAACUGGGAUUUGGAUAAAUAAUUGAAUAUGGGGAAUGACGUUUUUUAGAAGUGGAAGGGGAAUGAAGGAAAAUUACCUGGUAAUACAAUCUGUUUUGAAGAAUUGAUAUGACACUCAAAAUAGUCUUAUCCAACUGUGAGUUUGUUACCUAAUUAAUUGAUCAGAUCUAGAUACAAAUAUUAAUAUGAAUUAACAAACUUUAUUAUUUUGCAUGUAUACUUGACUAGAGUGAAUGUUGUCAUCAUCAUUUAAAUAGUCAAGAUUUAUGUUAUGAGAAUAAGCUAUUGUUGCAGGAAGAGGAUAAGGCAAAACUUGUCGAGGAAACAGGGUUCCAACAAAAAAAAAAAAAAAACUGGUUCAUCAAUCAAAGCAAGCACAAUUGGCAUAGCAACUCACAAUCUGUAAUAUUUCUAAAAUUCAAUCCAGGAGAUAGAGAGAAAUCAACGAGGUCCCUCGAAAGAAAUCAAAAACAUAUGUAAAUUCCUGCAUCUUCUUGAUGCCAUUAAUGAAAUCACUACUUCGUAAAAUAAAAAAUAAAAAAUCAAUGGUGAUAUGAAUAUAUAAAUGCUUUGAAGCAUAGUGUUGAACUAUCUAUUGUGGGUACAUGUUUAGGAGUUGCAUCUAUUGUGGGUACAUGUUUAGCAGUUGCAACUCCGUUAUUUACUUCGGCCAAACAAGUAUCAGAACUUGAUAUAAUUGAGGUGUGUUUGAUUAACUUGUAUUUCUAUUAUUGGAGUUUGUCGUGUACUUGUGUUUAGGCAUGAAGAAUUGUCCUAAAACAGGAGUUGUUCUCAGGUAUGGAGUGUUGUUUAGUAACAGAAUUUGUGCUCGCAAGCAAUCAAAAAAUAUAAUGAUCCAAGUAUGUUAUGCUUGAUAUGUUGUUUAUAAAAAUAAAUUUCUUCAAUGAAUGGACUUGGAACUUUUAUUUGAUUCUGGCUUUAACUUAUAGUUUACCACUUGUUUGUUGUUCACAUUUCCUUUGUGGUUACAACUACAAAUGAACUGCAUUAUUUAUACAUUCAAUCUAUGUUUGUUGGGCCCGUGCUUUGCACGGGCAUAUCACAUCUAGUAUAUAUAUACUUUUUAAUUAUUUUUUUAAAAUUUUAUUUAUUUGUAAUUUUAAUAUAGUAUUUAUUAAAUUAUUUUUAUUCACUUUAUCUAAUAAAUUUUUACUACUAUUUGAAGUAUUUUAUUUUAUUUUUUCGUUGAAACAUGGAAUUUACUAAUUUGUAUAAAUUCAUAUGCUAAAAUGGAAUUUGAUUUGCAAAUUUUUACUCAAUUCAAAAAACAAUUUUUUUUUUUAAAAAAAAUAGCCCUGCAAAACGCAGGUGAGCCUGCUCCUUGUAAGGCUAAAAGUUGUCAUAGCCUUGUAAGGCGCAUGGGUUUUUGUGCCUUACGGCGGAAACCCUGAUUUAAACACUGUUAAAAUUUGUUGCCCUUUGAUUUGAUAAAUAAUUUAGUUGCUCUUUUGAAAUUUUCAAAAAAAUUUGUUGCCCUUUUGAUUCCGAACUCCAAGUAAUUGACUGACCAUAUAAUAUAAAUAAUAUUUUCUUUCUUUCUUUCUUUGUCAAUCAAUUCGCCUGUCUUUUUGUGCUUUUGCUUUUAUAAAGUUGGCCAAUGUAUUCCUAACGUGAUGACAUAAAAGGUUGAGCAAAUCACAACCAUCCACCUUUAUUAAUCUGUUCAAAAAUGUUUAACAACCAAUUUACUUUAAUCUAAAGUAAAAUUACACUUAAAUAGUUUAUAAUUUAUUUCUACCAAUUAAUGACAGCCUUUUCUUUUCUUGAAACAUAUUAUUUUAACCUCUCAUAGUCGAAGAGUUCUUGUAUAGGUGGGUAAUGAAGAGUUUUCUAAUGUCUUUAAUAGUAGUAUUAAUUAGUGGUUUCUUUGAUUUUGUUAAAGGUAUCAAUAAGUGGUCUUCCUUUAUUCUUCCCUACUCCCUUCGAGGUUAAAUUGAGUUCAAUUGAAAAUUCUCUUAAAUUGUGUUAAAGCUUGAAAAAGUUGAGAUUGAAUCUAAUUCAAUUUACCUUGAGCCCACCCUUAAAAUUCUAGACUGAUUGGGCGGAUUACCUAUAGUUGGGCUCAUUUUUGACACUCCAACUAGGGGUGUACAUGACCGGGUUGGUUCGGGUUUUUCAAAUAUCAAAUCAAACCAUUUGUGUAAUUUGAUUAAAUUUAUAAACCAAACCAAACUAAUAAAAUUCGGAUUUUUUCGAUCGGGUUUUUCAACCUUAGGUUAGUUCGGGUUUUUCAAAUACCAAACCAAACCAUUGUGUCAAAUUUUUAAAUUUUUAAAUCAAACCAAACUAAUAAACCUUGGAUUUUUUCUGAUUUUUGAAUUUUUUCUGUAAAAUUUGCAUACAAACAUAUAAUUAACUUGUNNNNNNNNNNNNNNNNNNNNNNNNNNNNNNNNNNNNNNNNNNNNNNNNNNNNNNNNNNNNNNNNNNNNNNNNNNNNNNNNNNNNNNNNNNNNNNNNNNNNNNNNNNNNNNNNNNNNNNNNNNNNNNNNNNNNNNNNNNNNNNNNNNNNNNNNNNNNNNNNNNNNNNNNNNNNNNNNNNNNNNNNNNNNNNNNNNNNNNNNNNNNNNNGCCCACCCCCAAAAAAAAAUAAAAAAAUUUAAGUUUGUUUUUAAAAAAUAUUUUCAACUUCAAAAUUUCAAUUUUUCACCCCUACCCUCGACCUCACCUCCCACCCCCCAAAAAAAUUACACUUUUUUUCUUGAAACAUAUUAUUUUAACCUCUCAUAGUCGAAGAGUUCUUGUAUAGGUGGGUAAUGAAGAGUUUUCUAAAUAAAAUUUAAGUUUGUUUUUUAAAAAAAUAUUUUCAAUUUCAAAAUUAUUUUCUACUCUAGUAAAAAUAAAAGAUAUUUCUCAAAAAUAUUUUUCAUUCAUAAAUCAAACAUUAAAAAUCUUUUCCGGAAAAUAUUUUCUACUCACCCACCAAACAUGAGAAAAUAAGUCAAAAAUCAACUUGUUUCCAGGAAAACAUUUCCUUCAUACCAAACACACCCUAAAUUUCUUCCAUUUGUGCUAAUUAGUGAAUGUGUGUUGUGUAACACAGCCUUGUAAAUUUGAUUUUAAAGAUUGACUCCUAUUGACUUUGCUCUUAAGUCUUAAGGGGUCGUUUGGUGUGAUGGAUAAGGGGAGUUAAUCCUGGGAUAAAUUUUGAGCACCAUUUAAUCCUUUGUUUGGUUGCACAACAUGGGAUAAUUUAUCCCAGGAUUAAUAAUUAGUCCUGGGAUAAGUUAUCCCUAUCUUUGGGUGGAAUAGUAAUACCGGGAUUAAUAUAUUCUUUCAUCUCACGAUACCAUAUCGUGAUAUGGUAUCGCAUGGCCAAACGGGCCAUUAGUUUCCUCCUUUUAAUCUGUCUUUACAUUAAUCUGUUUGUUACUUAUUUUCCUCGUAUGAAUCUGUUUUCACAUUUUUGGAAAUUAUAGUCUAUACUUUUUCAACACUUUAUUUGUUUUAGUGUUAUAUAUAUAUAUAUAUAUAGUGGAGUAAAUUUGAUAUUGGAAAUACAACACACACAAAUUAAUAUGGAGAAGCACAUCUUCUUAUUGAUUCUUCUCUUUCUAAUUCAAUUUUCUAUAUCAUUUGCUUCCUCUAGUGAGACUGACCAACAAGCUCUAUUAGCUUUCCAAAAUCUUAUUACAAGUCCCACUCAUUUUUUGGCCAACAAUUGGACCAAAAAUACUUCCUUUUGCUCUUGGUUUGGUGUCACUUGCACUCCAAAAAGGCAAUGGGUUGUGGCCUUGGCUCUUCCUAAUUUGCAUCUUCAAGGCACAAUCUCAACGUCUUUGGCCAAUUUGUCCUUCCUCAGUGUUCUCAAUCUCGAGAACAACAACUUCCGCGGUGGCAUCCCUUAUGAACUUGGCCACUUGCCUCGCUUGCGAGUGAUUGAUAUUCAAAACAAUCAGCUCAACGGAAGUAUACCAACAAGUCUAUUUCAACACCGGAGAGUUCAAGUAAUUUCAUUGGCUUUCAAUGAACUCGGUGGUGAAAUGUGGAAAGGGCCAUGGUAUGUACCCAAACUCAGAGUCUUGGAUCUCACCAACAAUAACCUCACGGGUAUGAUCCCUCCUUCUGUUGGAAAUGCCACAAAAAUGAUGAACUUCAGUUUGUCUGGGAAUAGAGUCAGCGGCAACAUUCCAAAGGAGGUCGGUAAUCUGAGCCAACUUGCAGACUUGUCCUUGACUGACAAUCAAUUAACAGGUUCCAUUCCUGUAGGACUAUUUAAUAUCUCGUCGCUACUUGCCAUAAAUCUGCUAUACAAUAGACUUUCCGGUCCUCUCUUGCUAGAUGAAGGAAUUUUUUUGUCAAAUCUGAAGUUUCUAAGUAUAUCUCGCAACCAGAUUUCUGGUUGCAUUCCUUCCAACAUAUGCCAACUCAGAGAGCUCAAAGUUUUGUCCAUAUCUUUCAACAACAUAACUGGAGACAUACCCAAAAAUAUUGAUUGUUUAUCCAAUCUCCAGGAGUUUUUUAUUCGUCAUAAUUCAAUAAAAGGGACUAUUCCCACUUCAUUGGGAAAUAUUUCAACUCUGCAAUAUCUUUAUUCUGGAAGCAAUCUCAUAGUGGGGCCAAUUCCUCCAGAAUUAGGGAAGCUAUCAAAUUUGAGGGUAUUAACCUUUUCCAAUAAUUCUCUUAUUGGUCAAAUUCCAGAGGCUAUUUUCAACAUAUCUUCUUUGGAAGUGAUUGUUUUCAAUUUCAACAAUCUCUCCGGGAGAUUUCCAACCACUACAGGUCUUCAUCUUCCGAACCUUAAAGUACUUGAGUUGGGAGUCAAUCAGCUGGAAGGGGAAAUUCCAUUGUUCAUAACAAAUGCUUCCAAGCUUCAGAUACUGGCGCUAGAACAUAACUCUCUCACGGGAGCUAUUCCUACUAAUUUGGGGAAUCUUCAUGAGCUGCGAUCACUCAUACUACAUCGUAAUCAACUUACCAAUGAACCAAGAGAGAGUGAGUUGUUAUUCUCCAAUUCUUUGGCGGACUGUAGGAUGUUGCUAUGUAUAGAUGUGGGUGAAAAUCCGUUGAACGGCGUUCUGCCCAAUUCUAUUGGGAAUCUUUCAUCUACUCUUGAAUACUUGAAUAUACAAGAUGCACACAUCAACGGCCUCAUUCCCACAGGUAUAAGCAACAUGAGCAGUCUAAUGACACUAGACUUUCAAGGAAACAACUUGACAGGGAGUAUUCCUUCUGAUGUUGGUAAGCUUAAACAACUCCAAGGUCUGUUUCUAACUAACAAUAAAUUGCAUGGACAUAUUCCAGAGGCGGUAUGCCAUUUAUCUAAUUUGGUUCAAUUAUUUCUAAAUGGUAAUGAGCUCUCUGGAUUAAUUCCAGAAUGCUUAGGAAAUCUUAGCAUGCUACAGAAGCUUUAUUUGGGUUCUAAUAAAUUUUCAUCAAAAUUUCCGUUGAGCCUUUGGAAGAUGAGUGGUCUUCUCUAUCUAAGUGUGUCACAAAAUUCAAUAGAGGGAGAAGUUCCAUCAGAUAUUGGAGGAAUGAAAGCCAUUGUAGAACUAUAUCUUUACAGUAACCACUUUUCAGGAAUGAUACCAACCAGAUUCGGGGAACUCCAAAACCUGCAGUAUCUUGACCUAUCAAACAACUCAUUUUUUGGUCAAAAUUCCAUUUAUCCUUUGCCAACUUGAUAAGCUUAGAAUACUUGGAUUUGCUUUAAAUGUAUUGUCAGGUACUAUUCCUAAGUCUUUGGUAAAAACUCUCAUACCUUAAAAGCAUUAAUGUUCAUUUAAUGAUUUAGAAGGUGAAAUACCGAGUGGUGGCGUUUUUGCAAAUUCAACUCUGCAAUCAUUUAUUCGGAACAAAGGUCUUUGCGGAAUACACAUAUUGGAGAUUCCUGCUUGUGCUAUCAAUAAUCCUGGAAAACAAUCAAAGCUUAAGGAGGUUCUACUAAAAAUUGUUACUCCAGUGGUUAUUGCAUCCUUUUUGAUAUUCUUGUUGGUUUUAAUUUGGAUAAUGAAACAACAGAAGAAAGGAAAGUCCAAAGAUGUUGAACAGGUACUGGAGAUCAGGACUCAUCAUUUAGUUUCUUAUCACGAGAUUCAACGAGCAACAAAUAAUUUUGAUGAAUCCAAUUUAAUUGGUGAGGGAAGCUCUGGUUCUGUGUACAAAGGCACAUUGUUUGGUGGAACUGCAGUGGCCAUUAAGGUUCUAGAUUUGGAAAAUGAGCAAGUAUGCAAAAGGUUUGAUACCGAAUGUGAUGUAAUGAGAAAUGUUAGACACAGAAAUCUUGUUCCAGUGAUUACUACAUGUUCUAAUGACUAUAUAAGAGCCUUUGUUCUGCAAUUUAUUCCCAAUGGAAGUCUUGAGAAUUGGCUCUACAAAGAAGAUCGCCACUUGAACCUUCAUCAAAGAGUCACUGUAAUGCUUGAUGCAGCUAUGGCAGUUGAAUAUCUACAUCAUGGUCAUGUCACUCCAAUAGUUCAUUGUGACCUCAAGCCAGCCAACAUUCUUUUGGAUGAAGAUAUGGUGGCUCAUGUUGGUGAUUUUGGAAUCUCUAAAAUUUUAGCAAUAAGCAAGUCCAUGGCUUAUACCGAGACAUUGGGCACUCCUGGAUACAUUGCACCAGGUAUAAAAAACCUACUCUCUUUGAUUUUCUCUUCUCAUAAUUAAGCCUCUCCAAAUUCUAAAAGUAAAAAGAGCAAGUCUUUAUUUAUGUAGAAUUAUUGUUGUAUUUCAAUUGAAUUAACUUUUUUUUCAAUCCUUUUUUAAGAAUAUGGCUCGGAUGGAAUAGUGUCUGCUAGUGGCGAUGUUUAUAGUUACGGCAUCAUGUUGAUGGAGGUUUUGACGAAAAGAAGGCCAACAGAUGAAGAGAUAUGCAAUGAAAAUCUUGACUUGAGGAAAUGGAUAACACAAUCAUUUUUAGGGAGUAUGAUGGACUUUGUGGAUAUCAAUCUUUUUUCCAAGGAAGAACAGAUCACUUCAAAAAGUGAAAUCUGCAUUGCGUCCAUGAUAGAAUUGGGUUUAGACUGCACAAUGGAAAUGCCAGGAUCAAGAAUAAGCAUGAAAGAAGUAGUGAAGAGGCUUAACAAAAUCAACAACACAUUUCUGGAAACACAUAAGUGAUCAGCAUCUGUUCGGAUGGUGUUCUUUUCUGAGCUGCAAGUUAAUAUGAUGUUUUUGUUUCUUUAGUAAAGUCGUCGUAUAGUACUACUUGGAGUCAUGUAUUGUUUGUAAUUUCAUUUGAGUAUUUGAACCUAUUUUACUUUAUCUAUUUGUAAUUAUGUUUUGAAUGCUUGAAAGAAACCAGAAUGAAAUUAAUAGUCGCUUGACUCCGGUGAGUUUUUAAGAGUUUUUCGUGAGUAUUAUUCCACAAACUUUUUUUUAAAUUAGGGGUUUGUUUUUUUGGAAAUUUGGAUGAUUCUUCAAUUGGGUAUGUCAGAUUUUGCUUAAAGUUAAUGUCUUUAUCAUUUUAUCUGGUAGUAUAUGCUAAAAGGGUUUGUUUCUUGCCAAAAUUUGGGUGAUUCUUCAAAUGGGUAUUUGCAGAUUUUGUUAAAGUUCAUGUCUUCUCUUUCAUCUGAUUGUUUAUGGUAACAAAUGGACUUGAUGAACUGAAGAGCUUGAACUUUUUUAGAAAUUUCACACACAUACACAUGAUCCCUGUGAAUGGAGGAUUGUUGGGCUAAAUCAGCUCAAAGAUACUCUUAAUAUGGUGUUAUAUUGUCCGUUUUAAUCCAAGCCCUCACGGUUUAACUCAAAAAAGUACUACGUCGUUAAUAGAUCCUACAUCUUAUAUGACGCUUCCCAAUCUUUCAGCUACCAAUGUGGUGCUUUGUGUCAUUUGAGAAUUCCCCUUAUUAGAAUUUGACACACACAUACACUUGAUCCCUAUGAAUGGCGGGUUGUUGGGCUAAAUCAGCUCAAAGAUACUCUUAAUAUGGUGUUAUAUUGUCCGUUUUAAUCCAAGCCCUCACGGUUUAACUCAAAAAAGUACUACGUCGUUAAUAGAUCCUACAUCUUAUAUGACGCUUCCCAAUCUUUCAGCUACCAAUGUGGUGCUUUGUGUCAUUUGAGAAUUCCCCUUAUUAGAAUUUGACACACACAUACACUUGAUCCCUAUGAAUGGCGGGUUGUUGGGCUAAAUCAGCUCAAAGAUACUCUUAAUAUGGUGUUAUAUUGUCCGUUUUAAUCCAAGCCCUCACGGUUUAACUCAAAAAAGUACUACGUCGUUAAUAGAUCCUACAUCUUAUAUGACGCUUCCCAAUCUUUCAGCUACCAAUGUGGUGCUUUGUGUCAUUUGAGAAUUCCCCUUAUUAGAAUUUGACACACACAUACACUUGAUCCCUAUGAAUGGCGGGUUGUUGGGCUAAAUCAGCUCAAAGAUACUCUUAGCAUGGUGUGAUAUUGUCCGUUUUAAGCCAAGCCCUCAUGGUUUAACUCAAAAGGUGCUACGUCGUUAAGAGAUCCUUCAUCUUAUAUGUAGCUUCCCAAUCUUUUCAACUGCCAAUGUGUGACUUUGUAACCGCAGAGGAUGAACACAUCUUUAUUCCCGUGUGGAUCCGGGUAUUUACUUUUUAGUGCCUUGUGCCUUAGGUGUUAUGUUCAAAUCGCAUAUGUCCAAGCCUUGGUGGGUAGUUACUUGUUUGAUUCGGGAAUUAACUUUUAGUGCCUUAGGUCUCAGAUUCAAAUCGUACAUGUCCAAGCCUUGGUGGGCAGUUACCUAUGUUGGUGGGAGAUAGUAAAUUCCAUGUGGAAUUGAUUGAGGUGUACACAGGCUGGCCUGGACACUAGAGUUAUCGAAAAAAAGAAUUUUCACCGACUUGAAUUUCAGCAGAUCAAAACUUUUAUAGUUACAAGUAAUUUGUAACAAAAAUUGUGUCAAAGAAAUAGAAACAGUGUCACUGUUUUUCUUGGACUUUUCUGUAUUUGUGUAUUGUUUACUCUCUUCAUAAUGAAGAUUUGACUUUCGGUAGUGUCUAUUUCAUUUUACAGGAAAAUGUAGAUGAAGCAGUAAAGAAACUGAGAGAUGGAGGAAUUGAAGUGUUGGGAUUAGUAUGUCAUGUCUCAAAUGCACAACAGAGGAAGAAUUUGAUAGACAAGACCAUUCAGGUAUGAAUUGAAAUGAUUCUGCCGUAAAUUAACACUUCUUGGUCUGUGCUUGCAUAUCUCGGAGGUCAAUUGCUAUGUUGCUUGGACUCUUCAAAAAUGUCGACGGGUGCGUGUCGGAUCCUCCAAAGAUAGUGUAUUUUUGAAGGAUCCGACACGGGUGUGGCAACAUUUUUGGAGAGUCUGAGCAACUUGGGUCAAUUGUAUGUUAUUUUCUUGGGAAAUGGUUUUUGAUCUAACAAGUUAUGUAAAGCUAGUUGGUUUUUCUGAUGUCUAACUACGGAAAAUGAGAAGUCAAUGCUUACUACUUUGUAUGAUCCAACUUUGUUAAUUGAAAUUUGUAAUUUUUCAGAAAUAUGGGAAACUAGAUGUGGUUGUGUCAAAUGCCGCUGUCAAUCCUUCAGUAGAUGCAAUAUUAGAAACUAAAGCAUCAGUCAUUGACAAGCUGUGGGAUAUCAAUGUCAAGGCCGCUAUACUAUUACUACAAGUAAGUUAAUGAUAAAAAAAUCACGACAACAACGUUGCAAAUGCAUGUGUUACUUCGUCGAGCAUUUAUUGAAUACAUUGAAAGGCAAUGACUAUUUGUUCUAGUAUCACAUAUUUCCAUAUACUACAAAUUCUCGAAUUCCUUUUCUUUUCCUUCAUGUUCUGCUAUUUCGCUCAAUAUUUUGAUCUUUAUACUGUUUAUAGGAUGCAGCUCCUUACCUUAAGAAGGGUUCAUCAGUUGUUCUGAUUUCCUCAAUUUCUGGUUACUCGCCACCAGCUUCAAUGGGUAUGUAUGGAGGGACUAAAACUGCGCUACUCGGACUUACCAAGGUACUAAUGUUUAACUUGGCAUCCAUGGCACAUGAGUAACUAUUAUAUCCUAUUAGUGCUUUCUUCUUAUUGUCUUAUUUGGAAAGCCAGGCUCUUGCAGCUGAAAUGAGUCCAGAUACUCGUGUAAACUGUGUAGCACCGGGUUUUGUACCUACACAUUUUGCUGAUUUCAUCACGAGUAAUGAACAAGUGGCAAGUUCUUAUUAAAUGAAAUCUUACUCAUAGCAAAAUCUUAUAAAUAUUCUCUAUUUACUUACUAACUAGUUGCUGAUUGUGUUUAGAGGAGAGAGAUUGAGGGCAAGACAUUACUCAAUAGGCUUGGAACAACACAAGAUAUGGCCGCUGCUGUUGCUUAUUUGGCUUCUGAUGAUGCUUCUUAUGUAACCGGAGAAACUCUGGUUGUUGCUGGAGGAAUGCCUUCCAGACUUUAACUUCUCGAUUGUAGUGCCUCUCCUUCUGGUUUUAGUUAGCUUGCAUCAUAUAAUUUGUAGAAUGUAAUUUGUAUAACUGUUUAAGUUCAGAUGUUUGUGUUUGUAUAAAUUCGUUAUUUCGAGUUUUAUCAUAUUUGUAUAAUUGAGUAAUACAAUUACUCAAUUAUACAAGUACACACGAAUUAUACAACGAGGUGUGAAUUAUACAAAUUACUGCCCUCUCUCGCUCACCUCUCUCCUCCCUCUCUCAAUCUCGCUCGCCUCUCUCCUCCCUCUCCCAUUCUCUCUCGCCUCUCUCCUCUCCAACCAUGAAGCUACGAAUCGUAAUUAGCAAACUAUAGUUAUGGAGCAUAAUUAAGCUACUUUUGAGUAGCUAUAUGUAAAAAUUUCCCUAGUUUCUAUGACUUUUGUCAAACUAUAUUGUAUAGUCCGAAUUUUCGAAUAUUUUCUUUAUGUAAAUAAAAUAUGACUAUAUUUGUUGUAAAUUAAUUAUUUUAUUGUAUAUAUUUGAAACUAGCCCUUUUUUUUCAAGUUCAUAGCAUAAUAAUUUCCCUUUUCAUUUGAAUUUGGUUAAAUGUAAUAUAUUUUGGAAUUAAAAGGGAAAAAAAAUACUAAUUAAAAAAAUGUAUAUAUCAAAUUACAUAUGACAACGGGUGUAGUGUGUGUCACAGUUUAUUUUCUUUGAGAGAAAACCUUAAAAUUUCUUCCAUUUUGGCUAAUUAGUGAAUGUGUGUUGUGUAACACAGGCUUGGCUUUUAACAAUAUAAUGAAAAUUGAUAGCAAUUUUCUACAUCACUUGCUUCCUCUAUGAGACUGACCAACAAGCUCUAUUAGCUUUCCAAAAUCUUAUUAUUACAAGUCCCACUCAUUUUUUGGCCAACAAUUGGACCAAAAAUACCUCUUUUUGCUCUUGGUUUGGUGUCACUUGCACUCCAAAAAGGCAAAGGGUUGUGGCAUUGGCUCUUCCUAAUUUGCAACUUCAAGGGAUAAUUUCGAUGUCUUUGGCCAAUUUGUCCUUCCUCAGUGUUCUCAAUCUCGAGAACAACAACUUCCGCGGUGGCAUCCCUUAUGAACUUGGCUACUUGCCUCGCUUGCGAGUGAUUGAUAUUCAAAACAAUCAGCUCAACGGAAGUAUACCAACAAGUCUAUUUCAACACCAAGGAGUUCAAGUAAUUUCAUUGGCUUUCAAUGAACUCGGUGGUGAAAUGUGGAAAGGCCUAUGGUAUGUACCCGAACUCAGAGUCUUGGAUCUCACCAACAAUAACCUCACGGGUAUGAUCCCUCCUUCUGUUGGAAAUGCCACAAAAAUGAUGAACUUCAGUUUGUCUGGGAAUAGAGUCAGCGGCAACAUUCCAAAGGAGGUCGGUAAUCUGAGCCAGCUUGCAUUUUUGUACUUGUUCGAUAAUCAAUUAACAGGUUCCAUUCCCGCAACACUGUUUAAUAUGUCGUCACUAUUUGUCCUAUCUCUGGGAAAUAAUAUCCUUUCUGGUCCUCUCUUGGUAGAUGAAGGGAACAUUGUCUCAAAUAUGAACGUUGUAAGUAUAUCUCUCAAUCAAAUUUCUGGUUGCAUUCCUUCCAACAUGUGCCAACUCACAGACCUCAAACUUUUGUCCAUAUCAUUCAACAACAUAACUGGAGACAUACCCAGAAAUAUUGAUUGUUUAUCCAAACUCAAGAUGUUUCUUGUUGGAGAUAAUCCAAUAAAAGGGACUAUUCCCACUUCAUUGGGAAAUAUUUCCACUCUGCAAUAUCUUUAUUGUGAAAACAAUCGCAUAGUUGGGCAAAUUUCUCCAGAAUUAGGGAAGCUAUCAAAUUUGAGGGAAUUAUUCUUUGACAAUAAUUAUAAUCUUAUUGGUCAAAUUCGUAAGGCUAUUUUCAACAUAUCUUCUUUGGAAGUUAUUGAUUUCAGUUUCAACAACCUCUCGAGCAGAAUUCCAACCACUACAGGUCUUCAUCUUCCAAACAUUAAGCAACUUAUCUUGGGAGACAAUCAGCUGGAAGGAGAAAUUCCAUUGUUCAUUACAAAUGCUUCCAAGCUUAGAAUUCUUGGAUUUGUCUUUAAAUGUAUUGUCAGGUACUAUUCCUAAGUCUUUGGAAAAACUCUACUACCUUAAAAGCAUUAAUGUUUCAUUUAAUGAUUUAGAAGGUGAAAUACCGAGUGGUGGAGUGUUUGCAAAUUCCACUCUGCAAUCAUUUCUUCGGAACAAAGGUCUUUGCGGAAUACACAUAUUGGAGAUUCCUGAUUGUGCUAUCAAUAAUCCUGGAAAACAAUCAAAGCUUAAGGAGGUUCUACUAAAAAUUGUUACUCCAGUGGUUAUUGCAUCCUUUUUGAUAUUCUUGUUGGUUUUAAUUUGGAUUAAUUGAAACUAACAGAAGAAAGGAAAGUCCAAAGUAUGUUGAACAGGUACUGGAGAUCGGGACUCGUCAUUUAGUUUCUUAUCACGAGAUUCAACGAGCAACAAAUAAUUUUGAUGAAUCCAAUUUAAUUGGUGAGGGAAGCUCUGGCUCUGUGUACAAAGGCACAUUAUCUAGUGGAACUGCAGUGGCCAUUAAGGUUCUAGAUUUGGAAAAUGAGAAAGUAUGCAAGAGGUUUGAUACCGAAUGUGAAGUGAUGAGAAAUGUUAGACACAGAAAUCUUGUUCCAGUGAUUACUACAUGUUCUAAUGACUAUAUAAGAGCCUUUGUUCUGCGAUAUACACCCAAUGGGAGUCUUUGAGGAAUGGUUGUACAAAGAAGUGUCCAACUUGAACCUUUCUUUCUCUACACCGGAAAUAAAUUCACCAUUUUGGUACCAACUACAACAGCAAAAUCGCUGCCUUGACCAUUCCUGACCAUUGUUUUUAUGAAGUGGAUGAAUUAAAAACUUGAGAUUUUCAAAAAGUUUUAUUUUUUUCAAAGUAAUUAUUGAGGGUAUGGUAGAUAAAAAAUAUUUGUCAUUCUUAAUUUGUCAAAAUGAACAAGUAAUUAGGGGACAAAGGGAGUAUAUACAUAUGUUUUUCUAUUUCUUUCUUAAUAAUGCAAGUAACUGGAGUCCAGAACCAAAAGGGCAACAAAAUUUUUUGAAAAUUCUAAAAGGGCAACUAAAUUAUUUAUCAAACCAAAAGGGCAACAAAUGGUUUCCGCCGCAAGGCGUAGAAACCCAUGUGCCUUACAAGGCUAUGACAACUUUUAGCCUUGUAAGGCUAUGACGGCUUUUAGCCUUACAAGGCGCAGACAAACCUGCAUUUUGCAGGCUGUUCUUUUAUAAAAAAAAUUAUUUUCUGAAUUGAGUAAAAAUUUAUGAAUAAAAUUCCAUUUUAGCAUAUGAAUUUAUACAAAUUAGUAAAUUCUUCAAGGGGCCUACUUUUUGUUAUUGAAACAAGGCGCAAGCUCCUUGUAUACUUCUUUUUUUAUUUAUUCUUUUACCUUUUUUUUUUCUUCAAAUUUUUAGUAAACAAGGCGCAAGGGCCUGUAUACUUGCUUCUUUUUUUUCUUUUUUUUUACGGAAAAUAGCCAAAAAUACCUUUGAACUAUUUGAAAAGGUUUAAAUAUACUCCUCAUCCACCUAUUGGGUUAAAAUAACCCUCCGUUCACCUUUUUGGUCCAUUUUUACCCUUAAAACUAACACCCUUUUAUUUUUUAAUUAUUUUUAUUAUUAUUUAUUACAUGGCAUUUUCUAAUUGGAUAAACCUAAAUUCUAACCCAUUAAAUUUUCCUUCAUCCGUCCCGACCCAUAUUUAUAGCCCCAUGACCCAAACUCAAUUAAAAGACCCUUUAAAAAAAACAUCUCUCUUUCUCACUAAAGCUAUUUCAGAACCACCCAUCAACUACAAGAAGAAGCAUUUUCAGCUACUUCAACUUCUGUGUGAAAGCUUGAAGUUGAUUAUGAUUGAUUUUUGUGUAUUUUUCUAACUUUUCUGUAAUGAUAAUGUUUCAAGGUGAAUUUAUGAUAACUCUUUUAAGAAAUAAUAACUUAUUCUGGUUUUUGAAGAUUGUGAAAAAAAGAAGAAGCUAUUUCAAGACCAAGUUAAAGAAUCAAGCAACUUAAUUUGAUGUAUAUGUUUCUUUCUUAAAAGCCACGUAUCAGCAAUUCACGUCUCUGUCAAUUUUUUAAAAGAUGUUGUGGUGUUCUUGGUGGUCCGUGGUGCAGGGAGAAAGUAAACUAUCAUAAUAUUAUGCCCAAAUAUAGUUGUUAGCUAAUCUUUUUUUAUCAAAUGAUUAAUUAUGUAGCAGGGCAUGUGGGUGAUCAUUGAUAUAAAGUGUAGUAUAUUGUUUUUCAUGUAAAUUUUUUUGGUACACAAUUUUCAUUCUUGCAAGAAGCUAUUAGGAUUAUUGGAGAAAGAGAGGUUAAUAUAUCCUUUAUUUUUAAUGGGUUUUAAAUUGGGUUUUGGGUUAUGGGCUAUGAUGGAUAUGGGUCAGUGGGCAGAGGAAAAUCUAAUGGGUUGGAAUUUAGUUUUAUCCAAUAAGAAGAUGCCACGUAAUAAAUAUUAAUAAAAAUAAUUAAAAAAUAAAAGAGUGUUAGUUUUAAGGGUAAAAAUGGAUCAAAAAGGUGAAUUGAGGGAUAUUUUUAACCUAAUAGGUGAAUGAGGGGUAUAUUUGAACAUUUUCGAAUAGUUCAACGGUAUUUUUGGCCCUUUUCCGUUUUUUUUACUUUCUUUUUUCAAAUUUUUAGUUUAUGCCUUUAUAUAUAUAUACUUUUUAAUUAUUAUUUUUAAAAUUUUAUUUAUUUGUAAUUUUAAUAUAGUAUUUAUUAAAUUAUUUUUAUUCACUUUAUCUAAUAAUUUUUUACUACUAAUUGAGUAUUUUUUUUUUGUUGAAACAUGGAAUUUACUAAUUUGUAUAAAUUCAUAUGCUAAAAUGGAAUUUGAUUCGCAAAUUUUUACUUAAUUCAGAAAACAAUUUUUUUUUUUUUUAAAAAAACAGCCCUGCAAAACGCAGGUGGGCCUGCGCCUUGUAAGGCUAAAAGUUGUCAUAGCCUUGUAAGGCACAUGGGUUUCUGCGCCUUGUGGCGGAAACCCUGAUUUAAACGCCAUUAAAAUGUAUUGCCCUUUUAAAAUUUUCGAAAAAUUUUGUUGCCAUUUUGAUUCCGAACUCCAAGUAAUUGACUGACCAUAUAAUAUAAAUAAUAUUUUCUUUCUUUCUUUCUUUCUUUGUCAAUCAAUUAACCUGUCUUUUUGUGGUUUUGCUUUUAUAAAGUUGGCCAAUGUAUUCCUUAUAAUGCGAUGACAUAAAAGGUUGAGCAAAUCACAACCAUUCACCUUUAUUAAUCUAUUAAAAAAUAUUUAACAACCAAUUUACUUUAAUCUAAAGUAAAAUUACACUUAAAUAGUUUAUAAUUUAUUUCUAUCAAUUAAUGAUAACCUUUUCUUUUUUCUUCUUUUCUUGAAACAUAUUAUUUUAACCUCUCAUAGUCGAAGAGUUCUUGUAUAGGUGGGUAAUGAAGAGUUUUCUAAUGUCUUUAAUAGUAGUAUUAAAUAGCAAUGGUGGUCUUAGAGAGGUGCCACAUCAUCCUUGCCUACAUUUAGUUUUAUAUUAUAUAUAGAUUGUUAUUAUUAUUAAUUCAUGAAAUAUAAUAAGAUGCAACAAAUAUAUAUAUAUAUAUAAAUACUUUUAUAAUAAAACAAAUUAAUAAUGAAAAUAAUGAAAGGAAUUUUUUUUAAAAAAAAAGAAGAAGGGAAGACUAAAGAUAAAUAAUAUUCUAGGCCAUAAAGAGGUGCCAUAAUAAAUUAAUAUAUAUACUUUUAUAAUCAAACAAAUUAAUAAUGAAAAUAAUGAAAGGAUUUUAUUUAUUUUUUUAAAAAAGGGAAGACUAAAGAUAAAUAAUAUUCUAGGCCAUAAAGAGGUGCCAUAAUAAAUUAAUAUGAUUGUUAUAAAUUUAAUGAAACUUAAUAAAUAGGAUAGAAUAUGAUUAGUUCUUUGAUUUAAAAAUAAGAAAAUAUAGAGAAAAACGUUUAAAAAAUGAGAAAAAAGAUAAAUAGCACGGUAGCCUUAGAGAGGUGCCACAUCAUCCUUGCCUACAUUUAACUUUAUAUUAUAUAUAGAUUUGUUUUAAUUUUUUUUUUAUAUAUUAUAUUGUGAACUGUGAUAAUACCAUACUUUUAUUCUCUUUUUCAAUGUACCUGUGGAUAUUAUUGUUUUGAAUUUAUGUCCUUUUCUCUUUGUGGGUAAAUUUUUUACUUUUAUUGAGGAAAUAUUUCAUGGAGAGUAUCAUGCUUUAUGUGUGGAUUGAUAUGGUGUCGACAUUUUUUUCUCACUUUAUGAAACAACAUUACAUUUUAUAAUAUAGGAAAAAGGGUAUGAUAUACCCGUUAUACAAAUGGUUCACAUAUGUCCUUACCGUUAUAAAAGGAGCUCACAUAUACCCUUCAUCUAAUGAAAGUGAAAAUAUUAGUUUGAAAUUUUAUUUUCUUUACUUUAAAUUUUAGAAAAAUUCAUGUAGGGGUAUAUAUAUGAUCCUUCUAACAAAGUUUAAGGUAUAUUUUAAUAUUUUUCAUACAAAAAUUAAUCUUUUAACUUCUUUGAUUAUCAUUAUUUGAGUUUCUUAUUCUUUUUUCUAUUCACCUUUAUUAAUCUAUUAAAAAAUGUUUAACAACCAAUUUACUUUAAUCUAAAGUGAAAUUACACUUAAAUAGUUUAUAAUUUAUUUCUACCAAUUAAUGACAACCUUUUCUUUUCUCUUCUUUUCUUGAAACAUAUUAUUUUAACCUCUCAUAGUCGAAGAUUUCCUGUAUAGGUGGGGGUAAUGAAGAGUUUUCUAAUGUCUUUAAUAGUAGUAUUAAUUAGUGGUUUCUUUUAUUUUGUUAAAGGUAUCAACAAGUGGUCUUCCUUUAUUCUUCCCUACUCCCUUGGAGAUUAAAUUGGGUUCAAUUGAAAAUUUUCUUAAAUUGUGUUAAAGCUUGAAAAAGUUGAGAUUGAAUCCAAUUCAAUUUACCUUGAGCCCAACCCUUAAAAUUCUAGACCGAUUGGGCGGAUUGCCUAUAGUUGGGCUCAUUUUUGACACUCUAACUAUUGCGCUAGACAUUGAUCCACUUCUCAACAAUAACUAAAUAACACUAAGUACUCUAUUAUCUCAUAAAUUUUGAUUGUUAAAUGCGAAAUGGACAUCUAAUUUAAAACAAAACUCAAUGAAAAAAGAAAAAUAAUUCCUCCCCAACUUCAUCUUGUAAUCACAGGUUAUUCGGAUGAUUGUUACUUAUUAUGUUUGUUAUUUGUUAUUGAGAUAUAGUAUUUAUUUUGAUUGUUACUUAAGCCUAUUUUAUCUUUUACUGUUCAGAUAAUUAUUACUUAUUGUAUUCCUUAUUUGGGUAUAUAUAAUAUUUGUUUUGAUUUUUUUUUAUAUAUUAUAUUGUAAACUGUGAUAAUACCAUACUUUUAUUCUCUUUUUCAAUGUACCUGUGCAUAUUAUUGUUUUGAAUUUUUGUCCUUUUGUCCUUGUGGGUAAAUUUUUUACUUUUAUUGAGGAAAUAUUUCAUGUAGAGUAUCAUGCUUUUAUGUGUGGAUUGAUAUGGUGUCGAUAUUUUUUUUCUCACGUUAUGAAACAACAUUACAUUUUAAAAUAUAUGGAAAAGUGUCUGAUAUACCCGUUAUACAAAUGGUUCACAUAUGUCCUUACCGUUAUAAAAGGAGCUCACAUAUAUCCUUCAUCUAACGGAAGUGAAAAUAUUUGUUUGAAAUUUAUUUUCUUUACUUUAAAUUUUAGAAAAAUUCAUGUAGGCGUAUAUGAUCCUUCUAACAAAGUUCAAGGUAUAUUUUAAUAUUUUUCAUACAAAAAUUAUCUUUUAACUUCUUUGAUUAUCAUAAAUCAAGUUUCUUAUNNNNNNNNNNNNNNNNNNNNNNNNNNNNNNNNNNNNNNNNNNNNNNNNNNNNNNNNNNNNNNNNNNNNNNNNNNNNNNNNNNNNNNNNNNNNNNNNNNNNNNNNNNNNNNNNNNNNNNNNNNNNNNNNNNNNNNNNNNNNNNNNNNNNNNNNNNNNNNNNNNNNNNNNNNNNNNNNNNNNNNNNNNNNNNNNNNNNNNNNNNNNNNNNNNNNNNNNNNNNNNNNNNNNNNNNNNNNNNNNNNNNNNNNNNNNNNNNNNNNNNNNNNNNNNNNNNNNNNNNNNNNNNNNNNNNNNNNNNNNNNNNNNNNNNNNNNNNNNNNNNNNNNNNNNNNNNNNNNNNNNNNNNNNNNNNNNNNNNNNNNNNNNNNNNNNNNNNNNNNNNNNNNNNNNNNNNNNNNNNNNNNNNNNNNNNNNNNNNNNNNNNNNNNNNNNNNNNNNNNNNNNNNNNNNNNNNNNNNNNNNNNNNNNNNNNNNNNNNNNNNNNNNNNNNNNNNNNNNNNNNNNNNNNNNNNNNNNNNNNNNNNNNNNNNNNNNNNNNNNNNNNNNNNNNNNNNNNNNNNNNNNNNNNNNNNNNNNNNAUGACACUAAAAUAUUCAAUAAAAUAUAAUAAUGAAAUCAUCAUAUAAAAUGAAUAUUGCAAAGUCAUAAUGAAAAUGAUCAUAAUUUAGAAGUACUAAAUCAUGCUAAAAUAAGUUUAAUAAGUAUUAGUUACAUUACUAAAUAUUUAAGGAAAAUUAAAUUAGAUUAUGUAUUUUAAUUGUCUAAACCAAUGUAAAACUAAAGAACAAAUAUUCAAUAAUAUUGUCAUUCUUAGUGUUAAAUUCAUUUUCUUUAUGCAUUAGUAGUAAUUUGUUUUUUAUUUAAGUUUUAUUAUAAUUAUCAACAUCUAUGAACUAUAAUCUUUAUUGGACCAUUCCGAAUUGUAAGUUUUAAACUUGAAAUAAUAUAUUAAAAGAUAAAAACUAUGAAAUAGUAUAAGAAAUAUUUUAAAAUUAUAUCAAAGUAAAUAUUUUUAUGUAUAAAAUACAAUUUUAAAAUUACAUAUAUAAUGUCGGGUUGAUUUUUUUUAGUUAAAACCAAACCAACCCAAAUAUAGUCGGAUUGUUUUUCCCAAUACCUAACCAAGUCAAACCAAACCACUAGUCGGUUUUUUUCCGAUUUGACUCGGUUUACGGUUUGGUUCGGUUUUCGGUUCGAUUUUGUACACCCCUAACUCCAACUAUUGCGCUUGACAUUUGAUCCACUUCUCAACAAUAACUAAAUAACACUAAGUACUCUAUUGUCUCAUAAUUUUUUUAUUGUUAAAUGCGAAAUGGACAUCUAAUUUAAAACGAACUCAAUGAAAAAAGAAAAAUAAUUCCUCCCCAACUUCAUCUUGUAAUCAUAGGUUAUUCGGAUGGUUGUUACUUAUUAUGUUUGUUACUGAGAUAUAGUAUUUAUUUUGAUUGUUACUUAAGCCUAUUUUAUCUUUUACUGUUCGGAUAAUUAUUACUUAUUGUAUUCCUUAUUUAGGUAUAUAUAAUAUUUUUUUUGAUUUUUUAAUUUUUUAUAUUAUAUUGUGAACUGUGAUAAUACCAUACUUUUAUUCUCUUUUUCAAUGUACUGUGCAUAUUAUUGUUUUGAAUUUUUGUCCUUUUGUCUUUGUGGGUAAAUUUUUUACUUUUAUUGAGGAAAUAUUUCAUGGAGAGUAUCAUGCUUUUAUGUGUGGAUUGAUAUGGUGUGGACAUUUUUUUCUCACGUUAUGAAACAACAUUACAUUUUAAAAUAUAGGGAAAAGUGUCUGAUAUACCCGUUAUACAAAUGGUUCACAUAUGUCCUUAUCGUUAUAAAAGGAGCUCACAUAUACCCUUCAUCUAACGGAAGUGAAAAUAUUAGUUUGAAAUUUAUUUUCUUUACUUUAAAUUUUAGAAAAAUUCAUGUAGGGGUAUAUAUAUGAUCCUUCUAACAAAGUUCAAGGUAUAUUUUAAUAUUUUUCAUACAAAAAUUAUCUUUUAACUUCUUUGAUUAUCAUUAUUCGAGUUUCUUAUUCUUUUUUCCAUUCACCUUUAUUAAUCUGUCUCCCUCUGUUGGUGGUCUUACAGUAGCAAUAAACGUACAAUUUUCUUGAGCAUCAAAUUUCCUUGUGCUUUACUUCGCUUGCGUUUACUUUAGUUGUUUUAGACGGAAGAUACUUUUGGAGCUGAGGACAUUACAACAAAAAUAACUUUAAGCAGAGAUAAAUAUAAACAUUAACAAAAUAUGCUAAAACCUUUAUCGUCAUUAGUUAAUUGCCUUUGGAUCCAAUGACGGUAUAGACUUUAGGGACAUUUACAAAAAGUGCCGAUUGCCUCUAAAAAACAUAUUUAACAACAAUUAAGCUAUUACCGUUAAUUAUUUACCACUAAAAAAUCAUUUUUGGUGUGGUGAAAUUAUCUCUCGGAGACAUACAUCGACGCACCAAAUUGCUCGAAUUCUUGCACUCUUUCUUUAUUUAGCUUUACUCAUUCAACAUACUAUCUUGUAGGGGUGUACAUGGUCGGGUUGGUUUGGGUUUUUCAAAUUUCAAACCAAACCAAUAAAACUCGGAUUUUUCAACCUCGGGUUUUUUCGGUUUUUUGGGUUGUUUCGGGUUUUUCCGGUAAAGUAUUCAUACAAACAUAUAAUUUACUUGUACUUCAAAUAUUUCUUUAGUCCUACCAAAAUACAACUAUCUAAGAUGUUUCUUAAAAAUAUAACACAAUAUGAUAUGAUUAAUGACACUAAAAUAUCCAACAAAAAUAAUAAUAAUGAAAUCGCGUAAAACAAAUAUUACAAAUUAUUAUGUCAUAAUGAAAAUGAUCAUAAUUUAGAAGUACUAAAUCAUGCUAAAAUAAGUUUAAUAAGUAUUAGUUACAUGACUAAAUAUUAAAGGAAAUUAAAAUUAGAUUAUGUAUUUUAAUUGUCUAAACCAAUGUAAACUAAAGAACAAAUAUUCAAUAUUAUUGUCAUUCUUAGUGUUGAAUUUUUAUUUUUUUUUGCAUUAGUAUUAAUUUGAUUUUGAUUUAAGUUUUAUUAUAAUUAUCAACAUCUAUGAACUAAAAUCGUUAUUGGACCAUUCCGAAUUGUAAGUUUUAAACUUGAAAUAAUAUAUUAAAAGAUAAAAACUAUGAAAUAGUAUAAAAAAUAUUUUAAAAAUUAUAUCAAAGUAAAUAUUUUUAUGUAUAAAAUACAAUUUUAAAAUUACAUAUAUAAUGUCGGGUUGGUUUUUUUUAGUUAAAACCAAACCAACCCAAAUAUAGUCGGAUUUUUUUUCCAAUACCUAACCAAGUCAAACCAAACCACUAGUCGGGUUUUUUUUUUCCGGUUUGAUUCGGUUUACGGUUUGGUUCGGUUUUGGAUUCGAUUUUGUACACCCCUAACUCCAACUAUUGCGCUUGACAUUGAUCCACUUCUCAACAAUAACUAAAUAACACUAAGUACUCUAUUGUCUCAUAAAUUUUGAUUGUUAAAUGCGAAAUGGACAUCUAAUUUAAAACAAACUCAAUGAAAAUAGAAAAAUAAUUCCUCCCCAACUUCAUCUUGUAAUCACAGGUUAUUCGGAUGAUUGUUACUUAUUAUGUUUGUUAUUGAGAUAUAGUAUUUAUUUUGAUUGUUGUUUAAGCCUAUUUUAUCUUUUACUGUUCGGAUAAUUAUUACUUAUUGUAUUCCUUAUUUAGGUAUAUAUAAUAUUUGUUUUGAUUUUUUUUUUAAUAUUAUAUUGUGAACUGUGAUAAUACCAUACUUUUAUUCUCUUUUUCAAUGUACUGUGCAUAUUAUUGUUUUAAAUUUUUGUCCUUUUGUCUUUGUGGGUAAAUUUUUUACUUAUAUUGAGGAAAUAUUUCAUGGAGAGUAUCAUGCUUUUAUGUGUGGAUUGAUAUGGUGUGGACAUUUUUUUCUCACGUUAUGAAACAACAUUACAUUUUAAAAUAUAGGGAAAAGUGUCUGAUAUACCAGUUAUACAAAUGAUUCACAUAUGUCCUUAUCGUUAUAAAAGGAGCUCACAUAUACCCUUCAUCUAACGGAAGUGAAAAUAUUAGUUUGAAAUUUAUUUUCUUUACUUUAAAUUUUAGAAAAAUUCAUGUAGGCGUAUAUAUAUGAUCCUUCUAACAAAGUUCAAAGUAUAUUUUAAUAUUUUUCAUACAAAAAUUAUUUUUUAACUUCUUUGAUUAUCAUUAUUCGAGUUUCUUAAUCUUUUUUCCAUUCACCUUUAUUAAUCUAUUAAAAAAUGUUUAACAACCAAUUUACUUUAAUUUAAAGUAAAAUUACACUUAAAUUGAUUAUCAUUAUUCGAGUUUCUUAUUCUUUCUUUUUUUAAUUUCAUUCUUUAGUGUAAAGAAAAAAUUUAAAACUAUUUUUUUGUGGCUAUAUUAUAAUUUAGUUUUUUUAUUUGUAAAAAUAAAAUUAGAAAACGGGGCAUCUAUAAUAAAUUUUACAAAAAAAUUAGUGAAACAUAAAUAAAUUUGACCAUCAAAAUAAUAAAUUUAAAUUAGUCGUUAAAACAAAAAAGUAAAAAAAAAAUACGUGUGAGGAGAAUCAAAUAUACCUCAUAUGGAUUAUUUUUUUUUCAAAAAAGUAAUUAAAAGAUUAAAUUAAAAUUAAUUUGUUCACUUCUGUUAGAGGAAAAGGGUAUAUGUGAGUCAUUUGUAUAACAAUAGGAGUAUCUAUGAGUCACUUUCAUAACAAGGGGAAUAUCAACUCUAAAUGACAAAGUUGAGGGGUAUAUCAACUCUAAAUAACAAAGUUGAGGGGUAUAUCAGCUCUAAGGGUGUGUUUGGUAUGAAGGAAACCGGAAAAUGUUUUCCAAUUUUCUCAUGUUUGGUUGGGUUUAAAUGUUUUGGAAUUUUUUUUCCAAAUCAACUUAUCUUCCUCAAAUUUAAGGAAAAUGACUUCCCUUCAAAACUUAAGGAAAACGUUUUCCAAAACUCUCUUCCAAAAAAAUUUAAAGCUUAUUUUUUAAAAAUGUUCUUAACUUCAUUUUUUUUAUCCCACCCUCACCCUUACCCCCACCCCCUACCAUCCCCCUCCAAANNNNNNNNNNNNNNNNNNNNNNNNNNNNNNNNNNNNNNNNNNNNNNNNNNNNNNNNNNNNNNNNNNNNNNNNNNNNNNNNNNNNNNNNNNNNNNNNNNNNNNNNNNNNNNNNNNNNNNNNNNNNNNNNNNNNNNNNNNNGCCAGCCCCCACCCCCAAAAAAAUGCGUUUGUUUUUAAAAAAUAUUUUCAAAUUUACAACGUUUACAUGGUGCGAUGUAUUUUUCUUUUUCUUUUUUUUGUAUUUUCCUUUAAAAUUGUUCAUUUUUGAAGAUCUUAGAAAAAGAAGAUAAAAAGACAGAUAACAUCUCAUAUUUACAUUUUCUAGAUGUAUAAAUUGUCAUUUUCCCUUUUUCUCUUUAUUUUUCCUAAGAAAUGUUCUUUCUAAUUCAAACACAAUUAUAUACAUUGAUUUCAGUCAAACAUAUUUAUAUAUUUUUUUAAAAGAAUGAAUAAUGUCAAAAGACGUACUGGUAAAGAUUAACUUUUUUAUGAUACUAAAACUGAGAAGGUCUUAAAGAUUUUACAAAUUCAAAUUCUUAUUCAUGUAACUGCCCCAUUUACUCAUAAAUAAUUACACCUUAAAUAUUUUAUGUAACGCGUUGUCAUUAAUCCUCAAGACUCAAAUACAUUCUUUAUUAUUCUUAGUUUUUGGUGUUUCUUUCUUUCUAUUUUGGUAAAUAAUUUCUCAUUAACUUAUUAGUUUUAGAUUUAUUGUUUUUUCGCAGGUUACACAUAGGUACAACACUGAAAUAUUAUUUGUAUUAAUCUUUUUCUCCUUUUUUUAAAUUUAUUUAUGGGAAAAGACAUAAAAUCCCCCCUGAACUUCGCACGAAAACUUACUUUAGUACUUAAACUACACGGGUGUUUAUAUACCCCCCUAAUUUAAUUUGAAUUGAAUUUAAUUAUCCCUUAAAGAGUGACGUGGAAAAAUUUGUAUCACCAACUUUUCAUAAGCGCGUGAGAAAGGAAAAGACACAAAAAAAUUGACACAUGACAUCUUUUUAUUGGACAACCUACUUAAUAACUUAUUUUACUAAUUUUUAAAUAUUUUAUUUUGAAUUAAUUUUUCUCUCUCUAUAUUUCUUUUUCUGCAUCUUCUUCUUCUAUUUUUUUUCUCUUCUCAUAACUCUUUCUCUUUUUUAUUCUUUUCAUUUAGUUCAAGUAAACAUUUACUUCUAAAUAUAACUUCUUCCACAUUUCUUCUUUUUCUUUUCUUUUCUAUUUUUAAUCGUUUCUUUCUUCUUCUUUUUACAAAUUUUUUGGUGUUUGAUUCACCCACCAUUUUUGACAUCAAAGAAGAUUAUUAGAUCUAUCAGUUUAAAGCGUUAUCAGAAUGAAGUUGACUUCUAUUAAAAAAAAUCGGAGAUAUUGUUGGCAAAAGAUUAACUACGGAGAUUUCGCCCAAUUCGUAAAUAAUUUUUCAUCUUUAUGCAAAUAAUUUUUUAAAUUUUUGAGGAAGGUGGUAUCGUAUAACUAAACUAAAAAUGCAAUUGAAAUUUGAAUUAUAGUUUGUAUAUUGAGGAGUAAAUUCAUUGAUGGGUUUAAUUUUUGGCUCAAUAUUUUUAAAAAAACAAUUAUUAUGGAGAUUUAAGCAAUUAAUUAGGAAUUUUGUUAAUGUGCACAUGGACGAAUGAAAACGUGUGUGACUCAACAACACUCAGCAACUGGGCCGGUGAUGGGAGGGUUGAAAAAAUCACUUAAAAGAUGUUAAGGGGGGUAUAUAAACACCCGUGUAGUUUAAGUACUAAAGUAAGUUUUCGUGCCAAGUUCAGGGUUUUUUUUUAAUGUAUUUUCCCUUUAUUUAUUAUUAUUAUUAUUAUUUUAUUUUAAAUAUUCAUCUUUAUAACUCAUAUCUAAUUAUUUAUUCAAUUGUUUCUCUUAAUAUUUAUAACUCUCAUGAUUUUCAUAUUAAUAACCUCCAGCGGUUUAAGGUAUCUUUUGAUAUUCCUCUUUUUUUUAUCUAUAUAAUUCAUUUUUUGUGUUUCUUACCCAAGAUCAUUUUUUUCAUUUUGUAGCUAUAGUAGUACUAAAGCGCUUAUCAAUUGUAUUAUUUGAUUCAUGCUUAGUUUGACUUGAUGAACAAGACUCUUGAAUUUUGAUUGGUUGUAAAAAAAUGAGUCGACAAGAACUCGAAAAAUUAUGUACUAAUUAUAUAUAUAUAUUUUCCAUCUAUAUUGUUAUGAUUAAAGACUUGUGUAUAUUGUAUUUUUUUUUCUCUCCAUAAAUUAUUCUCUCAAUCUUUUUUUUUUUUUUUUUUUUUUUUUUAAAGUAAAUUUUGGUCCAAGGACCUUUUUAUUCAUUAGAUAAAGAAUGCCAAAACAUAAUAGGACCAGGCUAAAUGAGACCAAUUCUCAAAGCAAAAAAGGAAAGACAAAAAUCUGAUCUUUGUUGACCUUCCGUCUUCUCUACCUAACCUCCGAUUCCUCAAGCUAAUGUUGCCCGUGUGCUGUCGCUGGAGUUCCGAGCUGAAGGACCUGAUGGAUUUUCUCUGGUGACCUCCGCAAGGUACUUUUUCUCUUCUUCUUAGAUGAUCCCAAGGUUGGACCUCCGAUACUUGUGCGCACUUGAAUCUCCUCAUAAAGCUCGCUCUUGCUCUCAGUGUGGACCAACUCUUGAUGGCAGUGUGUUGUAGAUUUAGCUGAAUUAUGUCUAAGAUUCGAUUGCAUAUGCCAUAAAUGUUGUAUCUGUGUAGUUUAAGCCGUUGCCACUCCUUUACCAGCUUGUAUAACUAGUGACCACUCCAUCUUUUUGUUGUAUAUACCUUAUACCCUUUUCUCCUAUUUUGUCUUAUUGUUGAUUGAUUUUGCGAGUCUUUAUGCGAAGCACUGGUAUUUUUGCUUUUUCUGUGUUUAGGACUUGUCUUGCUCUAACUGGAAGUUCAUGAAAAUUGUGGUAUUCAUGACUUGUUUGGCUUUCUAUUGAUAUGUUAGCUAUGCAAUCUGCCAAACCAUUACUUUCUCUGUAUGUGUGUGUGAUUGUGGAACCUGUUAAAAGUAUGAUGUCUCUGAUUUCCUCUAUUCUCUCCACCAAUUCUCAAGGUACUUUCCACUCCUGCUGAAUGAUUUUUUUAAGACUGAGUGAAUCAAUCUCAAUUAAAACAUCAUAUAGUUCCCUUUCUUUGCAAUUUCUUAUGGCAUCUAGAAUUGCUAAACAUUCCGCCUCCAUGUUUGUAGCAAUUCCUAUUCCUCUUGACUUUGCAAAUAGUAAAUCUUCUUUGCUAUCUCUUAGACAAUAACCAAAAGAACUCAAACAUGGAUUACCUCUGCUGGCUCCAUCAGUGUUGCAUUUUAUUCUCGUAAUGUCAGGAGACUUCCAGGUAACACUGAUGUAGUGUAGCUUUGGUUUAUAGCACUCAAUUCUGAUGAUUAUUUCUAGCCACGACCAUUCUAUUCUUUUUAUCCAUGGAUACUUCUGCUUUAUUAGUUGUCUCACAACUCCAACUACUUGGUUCACCAUCUCCUCAUAGCUGAUGUUACUUCCAUGUUUGAUUACAUUUCUCCUUUUCCAUAUAGUCCAUAGAAUGAUGGCUGGUAUGGCUCUGUAAACUUCUGGUAGCUUUGGUGAUGCCUUUUGUUUCCACCAGGCUAUUUUAAGAUGUUGCAGUAGCAUUCCCUCCAUUUUUAUUCCUGCACAAUUAGCAAAGUGCCUCCAUAACUUAUUUGCUAUGUGGGCUGUUAGAAAUAAAUGGGUCAUUGUUUCCUCUUUUUUGUUGUGACAACACCAACAUCUUGAUACUAUGUUAAUCUUCAUCUUUUUAGGAUUGUCAUCUGUUGCAAUUUUUCUCUUCCACACCUUCCACAUAAAGAAGAUGAAUUUAAAGGGGAGAUUUUUCUUCCAGAGCCACUCACCGUCUCUUCUUAUCUCCUGCUUGUUUCUCAUUAAAUUCCAAGCUGACUUUACUGUAAACUUCCCCUGUGUGUUGCCCAUAUACCAGGCUACAUCAUUGCCAGACUGUGUAGUUGGGGUGUUUAGGCUAUCCAUGAUGUGAUCAGUCAUUUCAAUGGAUAAUUUCUCCAAUAACAGUUGUCUAUUCCACCUUCCAUCUGAAAUAAAUUCCCUCACUUCAAUCUCUUCCUCCACUGCAUCUUCCUCCAAAUAGUACAGGGCCCCUAACUUGGUCCAAUUAUCAAACCAAAAGCUAGAAGAUCCUGACUUAAUCUGCCACCAUAUUUCCUGCUCCACCUCUUCUCUAAUGAGAACCAUUUUCCUCCAUACAUGUGAUGCCCCCAAACCUUGAGCAAUGAUAGGAUGAUGCUUCUUACAAUAUUUAUUCCACAUAUAUAAGGCCCAUAAUGAUGAGGUUGCAGUUCUGAAGUUCCACCAGAGCUUGGAAAAUAGAGCCUUAGCUACAUCAUGUAAUGAUCUCAGACCCAAACCCUCUUCCUCCUUUGGAUUACACAUUUUGUCCCAUGCCACCCAAUGUUUGUUUUUUGAUUCAGUUGUGUUACCCAGAAAAACUUGGCAAAUAUCCUAUGCAACUGAUUUAUGACUCCAACAGGUGGGUUCAUGGCUGACAACAUGUACAUAUGAACUGAUUAUAGAACAUGAGCUAUUAAUAUAUUCCUUCCUCCAAAAGAUUAGAAUCUAUUCUGCCAUAAGUUGAUCCUUUUCAUGACCUUUUUAAUCAAUUCUUCAAAAUGUUUUCUAUUUUCAUUCCAUAGAAAAUAGGGCAACCUAAGUCUGUGAAUGGAAAGGAGCCUUGCUUUAUUCAUGUGAUCCUCUUGAUCUGGUUACAAACACUAAUGUGAACCUUCUCAUGCAAAUACACCAAACUUUUGUCCAGAUUAAUCAUUUACCCUGAAACUGCUGCAUACUUCCUCAACACCUUCAUCAUCUUCUUCAUAGAGGUAGGCUGUCCAAAACAGAAAAGGAUGGUAUCAUCUGCAUAAGAUAGAUGAUUAAUUUCAGGACUCCAUUUUGGCAUGCCAUACCCUUUAAACUCUGGAUCUUUAAAUAAUUUGUUGAGGCUCCUAGCUAGUACUUCAUCAACUGUGAUGAAUUAAGUGGGUGAUAAAGGAUCACUUUGUUUAGAGGACCGAAAGAAACCAAACUUCUGUCCAUUCGUUAUCACCGAGUACCAGUUAUUGGAAAUCAAUUUUACCACCAUAUCUAUAAUUCUUUCUGAGAAACCAAAUUGACUAAGUACUCUCAUCAAGUACCUCCAGGAUACCCUAUCAUAUGAUUUUGCCAUAUCCAAUUUCACCACCACAUUAUGCAAUUUGUUCCUCCUAUUAAUAUCCCUCACAAUCUCCUGAGCCAGUAGGACAUUUUUUGUUAUACUCCUCCCUUUCAUGAAUCCUGACUGGUUCUUUGAUAUAAUAGCUGGUAGAACUGGCACCAACCUUUCAUGGAGCAUUCUUGAAAUAAUUUUGUUGGUGAAAGUGCUAAGACUAAUUGGCCUUAAAUCCCCAAAAUUAUUCACUAUCUCAUUUUUGGGAAUUAAGAACAUAUUUGUGUGUGUUAUGAACCUUGGCAUCUUCAUACCACAAUAAAAUGCUUUUACCAUGUUAAUGAUGGCAUGUUUCACAUAUUUCCAACAACUCUAGAAAAAGAGUCCAGAGUAUCCAUCCGGCCACUUGCACCGUCCCCAUUUAGAGCAAAUACCACAGUUUUAACCUCCUCUUCUGUUGGUAGUCUUUCCAUCUCUUCAUUUUACUCCCUGGAAAAUAACUUUGGAAUAUUUUCCAACAUGGUGUAGUCUAUGGGUUCAUUGGUUUCUAUGAACUGUUCCCUAAACACAUUGACUGCCUCCUCCCCAAUGUUUUGUGUGGAGGUAAUUUUAUCUCCCUGCAUUGUCUAUAUAGAUGAAAUCUGUAGCUUUCUUAUUUUAUCCUAUACAUAGGCAUGAAAGAAUUUUGUGUUCCUGUCUCCAUUCUGAAACCACCUCAUUCCAACCUUCUGCUUCCAGUAUUCCUCCUCUAUGUAUGUACCUUUUCAAGUUAGCUUCAGCCUUUUUUAAACCAGUCCUAUUUUCUGUGGCUGUAUUAAUUUCAAGCUGAGCUUCUUUUGCUUUUAUCAUAUCUUCUAAUGUGGCCACCUGUUGGAAUAUAUUCCCAAAAGUUGACUGGCUCCAUGGUACCAAUACCCCCUUUAAUCUCUUGAGCUUCUGUUGAACAAUUGAAAAAGGUGAACCAUGUGCCUCUUUCUUCCAACUCUCCUCCACCACUUUAACAAACUCAUUGUUCUUGACCCAGAAUUCAAGAAUCUGAAUGGUUUGUUGAUCUGCUCCUGUACAUUGUUGCAACUCACAUGUAAAGGGGCAUGGUCAGACUUUUCCCUUAUCAAGUAAUGGACCUCACUUCUUUGGGGGGUAUUCAUGAAUUCAUUAUUUCCAAAAACUCUGUCAAGUUUUUUGAAAAUGCAUUCCUUCUCAAUUCUUCCAUUUCACCAAGUGUAACAGCUUCAUGUAAACAUCAAUUCAUUCAGAGCACAUGUAUUUAUACACUGAAUAAUAUCAGUAGUUUCAUUUUGUAUAACAGGCAAACCACCCAACUUUUCAGAUUCAUGCAUAAUAGUGUUGAAAUCCCCUCCUACAAGACAUGGGCAUAUUAUGUUGUUAGCAAUGCCUUCAAGGUCCUCCCACAACUCUAAUCUUUCCAGAGCAUUACAUCUAGCAUAUACUGCAGUUAUCUUGACUACAUUCUGAUUCCCUUUGUGUUUGAAACUAAUAGUUAAUUGUUGUACUGAGUCCACUGUAUGUUGUUCCUCCCAAUCCUCAUCCCAGAAAACCCUGCUUUUAGCUGAGCAAUUAUCUUUAACAUGUUGUUUGCCAAGUCUUCUUCUAUAACUUUCUAUCUCUGUUGGGCUUUGAAAAGGCUCUAAUAAAGCUAUAAAUGAGUAAUGAUUUUUCCUGUUAAGAUCAAGUAGUCUCUCAAAAGCAUUUUGAGAUUUUACUGACCUUAUGUUCCAGAAAAGUAAUUGUUAAUCAUUGAUCACUGGAGGAUGAUGUUCCCUUCCUGCUCCUUGUAUUUAUUUGUAGAGGCACAAUGUUGUUGUAAUUCUAAUUGUGCCUACCUUUUAGUUGUGUUAUUUGUCUAGGUGACAAAUCCCCCUCUUUUCCAAUUUGUUCUAUGGAGGCCUCCAGAUCAUCUUCUUCCUCUUCAUCUUGCUUUUUAUUCACUUUUGUAGGCUACAUCUUGUCUAUUCUGGGAGUUUGUUCCUCUAGUGUACCUCUCAUCCUUAUGAUGUUCUUUAUCAUGUACAUUGGUGUUCUUAUCUUUGUUCUCAAUAAUAAUUUCCUUUGCAGUGUGGUCAGUGUAGUUUGCCUCCCUCAUUGUUUCACUGAUAAUAGUUUCUAUAUGUGAACUUUUUGCAUUGGAGAUUUCCUUGGGUGAUUUCAUUUUCUUUGGAUCACUACUGUUUUGGCCACUUGAAGGUGUAAUUACUUUAUCUUUUUGGUUGGACUUUGAACUUGUGCUUCAUAUCUCUUUAUCAUGUCUGUUUUGUUCAUCAGCCUUUUGAAGUGGUAAACUAUUGUGUUGUCCCAUCAGCCCUUGUUGUGAACUUGGCUCAUUGUUUUCUUGUGUUUCAACAAUUUCUCUCAUAUCCCCUAAUGCUUCAAAUUUGUUUGUUGUUGUCACUUGUUGGGGCUCAUUAUUUUCUUUUCUCCUUGGAUUCCAUAUCUGUUCAGGUUUGUCUUUUGAUAGAAACCUUCCUCUUUUGUGCGCUGUUCUUCUCCCUUGCUCCUUGAACUCAAUAGCAGUAUCCCUAUUCUCCUUUUGUUCAGUAGUAACUCUAUUUUUUUGGAUAUCUUUGCUUGUGUUAUGUUUUUCCUUAUCUCCAUCCACCUUAAUUUCCUCCUUUCGAUAUAGCUCUGGAUGAAGAAUGAAACAUUCUUCCUCAUUAUGCCCCUGCAGCUUGCAUGUCUUACAAUAUUUUGGUACAUAGUCAUACUUUAUAUUCACCCAUCUCUCAAGUACCUCCCCUGAUUUCUUCCUCAUUCCCACGUUAAUUCGUUUUGGGAAUUUCCAAGCAGAUCCACUACACCUUCACUCUAGCACAACUGGGAUGUGUCUUAUUCAGAGUUGUCAUAUCAACUUGUAAUGGCUUUCCUACUGCUGCCGCCAUUGAAAAAAUAGGUUUUGCGCAAAAAAAAAUUGAUGGAAUUGCAGGGAAAGAGAUCCAAGCGAUUGCAGAAGUAGUUUCUUCUUCUGGAUUAAACUUAGGUUCCCAUUUCAAAGUCCUCAUAGGGUACGACUAGUAAUUAUGAGUGAUGUUAAAUUGAGGCUUUGAUAGUAAAGUCACAUAGUCCUCCAGCAGUGAGGCCCUAAUCAAUAUGUAUUUAUUGCUAAGUAAUCCAAUGUUAACUUCUCCUUUGAGCUCACAUUGUUUUGCUAUAAGUCGUCUCAGAUCUUGUAUAUCAGGCCAACCAUAUGAGAAUUUCCCGACCACAGCAUAUUGAAGUUUCUCAUUGAUAAUCAUUUGCUCUACUUCCUCCUCUUCCCAUACUAUCUUUGGUUCCCCAUGCAGGCACGUGAUUGGCUUUAGAGGUAAAGGUUUGGACUUUUGGGCUUGUGUGACUAAAGUAUUUGCAUAAGUAGGUUUGUUAUGAUCGUUAAACAUAGUUGGAAGGCAGGCCUCCAUCGAUGGAGGCUGGCCGAUGGCCAUCGUGGCCAUGUCGACGGUGAAUUGUUAGGCAAAAUAUUAGGUUUUAGGCUUCUAGGUCGGCGGAAGUUCGAUCAAAUCUUUUUAAGAAAAGUUAGAUGUUGCUCAAUCUUUUCUUUCUACAAUUGUUGAUAUAGAUUUUUUUUCUUCAGCAUAAUAACUCUUCUUUUGUUUCUCCAAACUAUACAGGUGAGCAACUCUAAAAGUUGGCAAAUCAAUUUUGGAAUAAAUAGUUGAAUCACGUAAUUUUCUUAUUCCUUGUUACAUUGAUAAAUACUUUAUUGGGGGUUCUUUUCGUUAAUAGCAUGGAUUGAACCUUCCCUCCGCAGUAACAUCAUCAUCUGGAUCUUUUAAAUAUUAAAGUUGUUACGCCCACUAAAUCUAUCAACUUCAAAUUUCAUGAAACUCAUCAUUACUUUUUUUCCUCUUCUAUUACAAAGUAUUUAGAAAUACAGAAAAACCAAAGUAAUUUGUUUUCUGAUGUGGAAGUUCAAAUUGUGCUACAACCACAGAGCAUACUCAGACAUAACCUUGGCUUUGAUACCAAUUGUUAGCGAAAACAUAAAAAUAAAGAACAAGGAAGAUCAAUAAUAUUAACAUGGUUUGGAUCAGAAUGAUCCUAUGUCUACCCGAGAACAACUGCACCAAUAUUUAUUUCACUACAAAAUAAUAUAAGUGAAAUACUACAAGAGAGAAAGAAGAUCAAAUGUCUUAGAAGAUGAGAAGGCAAGUGAGAGGUUUUUUACAAAUGAAUUAAGAGCUACCUAUUUAUAGGAGUGAAUUUUUCCUACUGAUGUCAUCCAUGACAUCACUGUGUGUCAAAAUGCCAAAGUUUUUUAACAUGUGAAAUCAUUUUAUAAUUUACCUAAAUUUCAGCUACAAAGUUACUAUCUUCCUACCAAAUCUUCAAAUUAAUUCAUCGUUGAAUCUUAACAAUUUCUAGUCAAGUAAAUUGGCACAUGAAAUUUUCAUCCAUUGGAUUUGACCCCAAAAGGACCAAACCAACUCUUUCAACACCUUAUCAAAUUAAUAGAAGACAAGCAAGAAAAAAAAUCCUCCCAGGCACGGUUACCAAGACAAACUUUUAGAGGUCCCUUCUGGGCCCUAGAAGCCCCCUCUCCGGCAAUCUUCUAUUGCCGGAAUCCCUUUCCACCUUCUUUCUUCUAAACACUUUCUUUCAUUCUCCCUUUCUUUCAGAACACCCACCAUGGCAGAUGAUACCAUCUACUUCGCGGUGGGUUUCAAAUCCUACGACAUCACAAGGGUAGUCUCCAAAGCAGAAACUUGGUAUGAUUGGGUAGAGAGAGGGCGAAAUAGGGUGACAAGAAUGACUGUGAGCCAGAAGACAAUGGAGUGGCUUGUCUAUGCCCUUAAGGAAGCUUCGAAGGUCCAAGGCAACUCUGUCCGUAGAUGGAAGGUAUGGGAUCACUCCACAGAAUUUUUCUGCUCAAAGAAUUUCAAUAAAGAUGGAAGGUAUAUUAGUAUCAUAAAAACACAGGGGAAGAGGAGAGCCGUCAUCUUUAUUCCAGAGUGGUAUUUAAAUUCCGGUUGGAUGGACAUAUCAACUAAAAUAACCAGAUUCAUAAAUGCAAAGGCCCAAAAGAUAUCUAAGGUGGUUCACAGGAAAACAGAGGAGGGUUUAUUGUAUUCUGAUUCUGUCAGGAAUAAUAAAUGGACAACAAGAGAAAUAAAUGCUGCAAAGAUUCAACAAAAAGGGAACUCGAUUAUUAUCUCUGAGGUCACAACAAAGAGCCAGAACGAACUUCUAGAAAAAAGUGUGGUCGAAAGUCUCCCGGAGGAGAUCCCCAAUGUUACUCUGUCAGAGGUUCGUCGGUGGGUAGUGAGUUCAUGGAAACAUUAUCACGGCAUCAACAUAUAUGAGCUGGGUCACAACAGAUUUCUCUUUGAGUUCCCAAAUAAAACCGCUGCAGACCAUACUAUCAGUGGGGAAUGGUUCUGGAAAUCUCAUAAAUUUUCUCUGGAAUGGUGGUCGCCGACCUCAACCGCUACAUCUGAAAGGUUGAACCAAGUAUGGAUUAGGGUAGUGGGCAUAACCCUUCAACUUUGGUCCCAAAAAGUUUUCCGUGAGAUUAGAAACUUCUGUGGUGGUUGGAUACAAACUGAGGAAGAAACUGAGUUGCGAAAUCAUCUUAAAUGGGCGAGAUUGAAGAUAAGAGGAGAUGGAGACGAUGUUUCGAGUUUUGUAGAACUGGUACACGAAGGGUUGACCUUCAAAGUACAGAUAUGGGUAGAGGCGCCGGCGAGAAUUAUCUCCGACGAAGGCAGAGUAGUGCUUUUCAAGGACCAGCGGUCUACUGAAAGGACCAACCCUAAGGUGAAUGAAAAACUUUUAGGUUUUACAGAAGUGUCAGGUCACGUGGGGUCGUCCUAUGACCUUGCAAUUUCAAAAUUGUCAGCUAAUACCUCACGUGCAGGAACACAUGCUCCCGAGACUCAAUUUAAGUCUCCUUUUAAGAGAAAUAGGCUGGUGCACAAGGGGGGAAAGUUGGGCCCAGAUCUGCUGGCCCAAAGUAUUUUAAAGGAACAAACAAAAGAAAGUGGCCCAUCUUUUUUAAUUGAUCCGUUUACGGUAGAACUUGAAGCAAACAAUAUCUCCUCCACCGCAGUUUUUUAAAAUUGCCCAGAAGAACUAGAAACAGGGCAGAUACCAAGGAUGAAUAUCAUAGAGAAGAUUCAUGAGGAGAGAGAAGGGAGAGAGAUGAUAAAUAUGACCCCAGGAACUCCUAGAAACUCUACAGCCCUGGAUAAUAUUUGCACGCAAGAGUGUACACCAGAAAGGCUCGAGGAAAAUAAUUCCAGUCUGAUUUCCAUAGAAGAAGCAGUUCCCUUAAAUCAAAAGAAUCUGGAGGAAGAAGAUGAUCCAGAGUUUGACAUGCCGAUCUGGAUUCAUCAGAAUAUACUUAAGUUCGCCAAAGAUUUUGGAGUUGACAAUCAGGGAUGCAAAGAGGAAGCAACAAUGCUAUUUAUGAAGAUCGACAGUAUGAGGCAGAUCAACAAUGAUAAGGGGAAGGAAAUUGCUAAAUUGACUUCAGCAGUCAAAGGGGCAAAAGAACUGAAGAGCUUGGAAUGUGGCAGCAUUUUCAGAAGCAAUGGAACAAGAAGUAAGGGGGGGAUAUACCAUCUCAGGUGAUCAAUGAUAGUCAACAUCAUAUCAUGGAAUGUGAGGGGUUUGAACCAGGCGAGUAAAAGGUGUAUAAUCAAGAACUUAAUUCAUAGUUGGAAAGCUGACAUUUAUUGCUUUCAAGAGACGAAAAUUGAGGGAGAGAUUGGGAGCUUCGUGAAAGAUUUAUGGGCCAACAGAUGGGUUAAAUAUUGCCAACUGGAAGCCAGUGGAACUAGAGGUGGUAUUUUAAUUAUGUGGGAUGGGAGAGUGUGGUCAGGGGAAGUAAGCAGCCUAGGAUCUUACUCAAUUACAUGUAAGCUCAUUGGGAUAAACCAAGAUUUAAUUUGGUUUCUCACAGGCAUUUAUGCUCCAAAUAGUAGGGAAGAAAGAGAGGAAGUCUGGUGGGAAGUUGGCUCAGCUAGAGGUUUAUUUGAUGGCCCAUGGGUGGUUUGCGGAGAUUUUAACACAGUAAGAUUCCCAUCUGAAAAAAAAGAAUUGCUCCAGGAUAUCUAGAGCAAUGACAGAUCUAUCUGACUUUAUUGAAGACAUGGGAUUGUUGGAUCCCCACCUAGUAGGGGGCAAGUAUACUUGGAGGAAAGGGGACAGGCAUGACACAACAUCCAGAUUAGAUAGAUUUCUUUUGUCUGAUGAUUGGGAUGAAGUGUUCAGAAACAUCAAACAAACAUUAUUGCACAAGGUUACCUCUGACCAUAAUCCCAUAAUGCUUCAAAGUGGGAAUUGGAAACCUGUGAGGUCCUAUUUCAAAUUUGAAAAUUGGUGGCUACAGACAGAAGGUUUCCUGGAUAGAGUGAAGGAAUGGUGGAGCUCUAUAGUAUGUGAAGGGAGGCCAGACUUUAUCCUAGCUUUCAAACUGAAAGCUCUUAAGGAUAAGUUGAGGGAAUGGAGUAAAACAUCUCAAGGAAACUUAGCCUCUCAGAAACAGAGUGUUCUCAAUCAAAUUGCAGAAUUAGAAGAAGUGCAAGAUCAAAGAGCUCUUCAUGAAGAUGAGAUUAAACUGAAGGCUGAUCUCCUUAUAGAGUUUGAAAAUUUAGCAAAGUUUGAGGAGAUAUCUUGGCGACAAAGAUCUAGGGUUAAUUGGUUGAAGCAGGGGGAUAAGAAUACAAAGUUCUUUCACAAAACUGCUAACUCUCACCGGAGAUACAAUAACAUUGACGAAUUAAAUGUGGAUGGUGAAACAAUCAAAGAUCCAGAGUUAAUAAAAAAAGAAAUCAUAGAUUUCUACCAAAAGCUAUAUUCUGAAACUGAGACUUGGAGACCCUCUGGUGGCUGCAGGGAAGGGCACACAAUUUCUGAAGAAGACAAUAGGAUGCUACAGGGGGAAUUUGAGAACCAAGAGAUAUGGGAGUGUGUAAAGCUUUGUGCUGGAGACAAAGCUCCUGGUCCAGAUGGUUACACUAUGGCCUUCUAUGCCCACUGUUGGGAGGUUGUUGGAGAGGAAGUCAUUGCUGCAGUAAAAAAUUUCCAUGAGAGAUGUUUCUUUGAGAAAAGCUUCAACUCCACCUAUGUGGCAUUGAUCCCCAAAAAGAUGGGUGCAAAGAAACUCACAGAUUUUAGACCCAUUAGCUUAAUUGGCAGUGUGUAUAAAAUAAUCUCCAAGGUGCUUACUGAGAGGCUUAAAAAGGUUAUGCACAAGCUAGUGGACACACAACAACUUGCUUUCAUUAAAGGAAGACAGAUCAUGGAUGCUAUUUUGAUGGCUAAUGAAUGUGUGGAUUCUAGGAUUAGAAGCAAGGUGCCAGGCAUUUUAUGCAAGCUGGACAUUCAGAAAGCAUAUGACCAUCUUAACUGGAAUUUUUUGCUGGAGACCUUAUCCAAAAGAGGUUUUGGUGGUAAAUGGAUGAGAUGGAUAAAGUUUUGUAUCAGUACUGUGAAAUAUUCUGUUCUCAUCAAUGGCUCUCCUACAGGUUUCUUCUCUUCACAGAGAGGAUUAAGACAGGGAGACCCGCUGUCUCCUUUCUUAUUCAUUAUAGCUAUGGAGGGACUUAAUGAUAUAUUGAAGAUUGCUCAAGAGAAACUAUGGUUGAGGGGCUUCAGAGUAUCAAAUAGGGGGGGUUGUGACAUGGAGAUUACACACUUACAAUAUGCUGAUGAUACUCUUGUUUUCUGUGAUGCCAACAGAAACCAACUGAUGGUUCUCAGAGUUAUAUUCGUGCUAUUUGAAGCCAUAUCAGGACUACAUAUCAAUUGGGAAAAAAGCUUCCUAUACCCAGUGAAUGAGGUCACCAAUCUAACCUCUCUGGCUGGUACACUUGGGGGGAGGACUGGUGAAUUACCAACUGUAUAUUUGGGCAUGCCACUAGGAGCAGAAAGCAAGUCUUCAGGAAUCUGGAAUGAGGUGGUUGAGAAGUGUGAAAAAAGAUUGGUGAACUGGAAGAGUCAAUAUCUCUCCCUCGGCGGGAGACUCACUCUCAUCAAUAGUGUUCUCGACUCCAUGCCUACCUACAUGAUGUCUAUCUUUCCUAUCCCAGAUGGGGUCAUUAACAAACUUGAUGCAAUAAGGAGGAAUUUCCUAUGGGAAGGAAAUAGUGACACUAAGAAAUUCCACUUGGUUAAGUGGGAUAAAUUGAUUGGGAGCAAACAAAAAGGAGGUCUUGGGGUAAGGAAUUUGAAGAUUCAGAACCAAAGCCUUAUGAUGAAAUGGCUAUGGAGACUAGCAUCCAGUGAACAAGCACUAUGGAAAGAACUUAUCAAAUAGAAGUAUGAAAUANNNNNNNNNNNNNNNNNNNNNNNNNNNNNNNNNNNNNNNNNNNNNNNNNNNNNNNNNNNNNNNNNNNNNNNNNNNNNNNNNNNNNNNNNNNNNNNNNNNNNNNNNNNNNNNNNNNNNNNNNNNNNNNNNNNNNNNNNNNNNNNNNNNNNNNNNNNNNNNNNNNNNNNNNNNNNNNNNNNNNNNNNNNNNNNNNNNNNNNNNNNNNNNNNNNNNNNNNNNNNNNNNNNNNNNNNNNNNNNNNNNNNNNNNNNNNNNNNNNNNNNNNNNNNNNNNNNNNNNNNNNNNNNNNNNNNNNNNNNNNNNNNNNNNNNNNNNNNNNNNNNNNCUGGCUGGCCAUGGAAACUUAUCUGGAAAGUUAAAAUACCUCCUAAAGUGUCCUGCUUCACUUGGCUACUAGCAAAGCAGGCUGUUUUGACUCAGGAGAACCUCAUGAAAAGGGAAAUCCAACUGAGCCCCAGGUGUUUCCUGUGUGGAGAAGAGGCUGAAACAGUCAAUCACCUCUUUCUUCACUGUAGGAUCACUUAAUAUUUUGUGGAGCAUUUUCAUCAAUUCGAAGGACCUAUCUUGGGUGAUGCCAAGAAAUAUUGUCCAGGCCCUGAAGAUAUGGAGUAGCUUUGCCUACAUUUCUGGUCAUAAAGAAAGAUGGAAGAUCAUCCCCACCUGUAUCUGGUGGUCUGUGUGGAAAGAGAGGAACCUCAGAUGCUUCCAGAACAAAGUAACAGCAUCCAGAAGAUGAAGAUGAAUUGCUUGGUUUUAUUUCUAUUUUUUGGUGUAAACAGGAGUAUAUGGAAAAAUCUAGAAUCAGUAAUGAAUGCUUUAGGCACCUUGUUAAUUUUUGUUUAUUUAGGAUUGAAGAUCUUCCUGAUACUCUCCUUUUAUUUGUAAUUAGUAAACCUGUAACAAGUUGUGGCAGGUUUGAUUUUUUGGAAUAUAAUACAAGACUGUUACCUUCUAAAAAAAAAAAAAACACCUUAUCAAGGCAGUCAAAACAUUGCUUCAUCAAGCCAGUUUACCUACCAAUUUUUGGACAUUUGCCUGCCAUCAUGCUGCCUUUUUGAUCAACCGCCUACCAACCACCACACUUGAUAACAAAUCUCCCUUUGAAACUCUUUUUAAUGAAACACCAUCUUAUGCUUCUCUUCAUACGUUUUGGUUGUCUAUGUUACCCAUGGCUAUGACCAUAUGCCCAAAAUAAAUUAGAGUUGUAUUCAAAACCUUGUGUGAAUCUUGAUUUUUCUGUCGGUCAUCAUUGCCAUCAAUGUUUUAAACCUACAAGCUCCAAACUUUUUUCUCUCACAGGAUGUAAAUUUUUAGAAGAUACUUUCCCAUUUGCUAAUCUUUUCUCUUCCCUAAGGAACAUCAUUUAAAUAAUAAUCAUCCAGAUUUCACGAUGUUGUCCCCCACCAUCCCGUUGAUGCGAGAUACACGCCAAAUAUUUGCUUCAUUCGUGCCACACAGAGGACCAACCCACAGUUGGAUCAAUUCGCCGCUCACAAUCCAGGUAAUCCUCUUCAAACUACCCUAUCUCCUAAUAUGCAUGGCAAUACCAUGUUGUUUCUCCCCUACCAUCCCACUUAUAUUUCAAAUCUAAUCCCCAACCCCCUCUACUCGUUCUCUCUCCCCACAUAACUGACCACCAAUUACUUAUAUCUAUCAACGUCGCCCGAACUCAUCACCCAAUAUACAAACACAAUCCCUCCAUAGGUGCUAGCAGUAGCACUCUUAGUUUGCCUUCACCCACUGAACCCAUAGUUCUAGUUCCAAAAGCUGACCAAAACCAUGUAGUGACAAGGUUGCAAAACAAUAUCAUCAAUCGACACAAAAUUGUUGACUACACUACCCAAAUAAUCCAACAUGUACCUCUUAUACCGAUAAGCAACAAACAAGCACAUAAAUUUUCAUAUUGGAGAGAUGCUAUGCAGGUUGAUUUUGAUGCAUUGAUGAUGAACCAGACUUAGGAGUUGGUUCCAACAGACCAUACUCAAAAUGUUGUUCCCUGUAAGUGGUUGUUCCAUAUCAAAACUAAGCCUGAGGCUAUUUUGACAAGUAUAAAGCAUGUUAGGUUGUAAAAGAGUUCGCUCAAAGGCCUGGAGUUGAUUUUCACUCCAGUGUUUAAACCCGCCACAAUUCGCACUGUCAUCACUCUUGUUAUACCAAAAAAUUGGGCAUUACAUCAGAUCGAUGUCAAUAAUGCUUUUCUCCCGGGGAUGCUUCACGAAGACGUGUAUAUGACUCAACCCCCUGAAUAUGAAAAUUCAGUGCAUCCUAAUUAUGUCUGCCAUCUUAAAAGGGUUAUUUACGAUUUGCGCCAAGCUUCUAAAUCUUGGUAUGAUGCCCUCACCAAUUCUUGAGCCAAAUGGGGUUUCAAAUGUCAGGGUCUGAUAAUUCUCUAUUUGUUCUCCAUAAUUUGGGAGUAACUUUUUAUAUUCAGAAUUAUGUGGACGAUAGUAUACUCACGGGCAACUAUGAAACACUCAUUUAACAGGUUAUUACAUCUCUUUCCAAAAAAACUUCUCUCAAGUAUCUUGGUUUACUGCACUAUUUCUUAGGCAUUGAGGUACAUAAGGAUGUCAAUGGUCUGCUUCUUAGUCAAUCUAAAUACAUACAUGAUGUGCUACAUGACACUAAGAUGCAAAACUGCAAAGGGGUUUAGUCACCAAUGAGUCCGUCAGCACUACUUCUGGUAGAUGAUAAAGCUCCCAAAACUGAUGACAAAGAAUAUAGGAGCGUACUUGGUAAGCUUCAAUACCUUUUGCUUACCCGACCUGACAUCACAUAUGAGGUAAACAAGCUUACUUCAUCCAACACCUUUCCCUCUGUGGUUCACUAGAAGGUCGUUAAGCAUAUCCUUCGGUAUCUUAAAGUAGCAUCCCACUAUGGUGUGCUUAUAUCUCCACAACAUCUCUAUAUUUAUGCCUAUGUUAAUGUAGAUUGGGCUGGUGAUAUACCGUGAGUUUACAAUAUUUUUGAUAUAUUUCACUUAAGAGUUGUGUCUCUAGGGCCAUUUUGUAUUAGAAAUAAUGUUUUUGUUUUAUGUUUGCAGGAAAUAGGCUUUGGCGUGGUUGAGUGAGAUGACAGCUGAAAUUCUGCAGCAGUGGUCACCCUCGGCGGGACCUACGGACCAUAGGUCCUGUGAUGGUCCAUCGAUGGGUAGGCGUAGAUGGGAUUAUCAAGGAAGUCUGACCAAGUGUGGAACUACAAAGCGAUCCACGGACCUUAGGUCAACCUACGGGCCAUCCUGCACAUCCGUAGAAGGUGUUCAAAGGGUUGAAGUUCCACUACCUAAUGAAAAUCCUAAUUGCGGAGCCACGAAAGAGGACCCACGGACCGUAGGUUAACCUACGAUCUGUUAUGCACGUCCGGCGUUGAUGAACUGGGAGUUGAAGGUUCCAACCUUUGUGGAAAAGUUCUAAGUGUUAACCAACAGGGACCUACGGACCGUAGGUCGACCCACGGUCCGUAGGUCGAGUCGUCGUUCAAAGCCGCUUCCCAGAAGUUAUUUCCUUAUUUUGUUUCCUUUUUGUUUAGGACAUGUUUUUCUAUAAAUAGGGUAUGUAAACCUCAUUUUUUGAGGUUAGACAUUAUUGUUUACUUUUAGGUCUUGAUAUUUUAUUAGGAAUUAACUUGCAAACUUUGGCAAUUUGAUUUCUGGAUUUCGGUUUAUAAGAUUUUUGCUUUGAAAUUCACUUCGAGAUUAUGACUUUCUUCUACUCUAAACGUAAGUUCAUGAAUUCUUCUUAUCAAAACAUGAAUUGUAUUCUUUCAAGCAUGAGUAGCUAAAUCCACAACUAGGGUUGUGGGAACCAUGAGCAAUUAACAACGUAUGAAUAAUAACUAAGUAAUUCUUGAAUAGUGUUGAUGCCUGCAUUAGUAAUUAUUUCGCUUAGAAGUCUUUUUAAAGAGAGCACGCGUUAGAACUCGCCUUGUUUCUACUUGACGGACCAAUGAGGUAGUUAAUAAGAAAAGAAUUAUCAACAGAGAUUUAGUGUGAUACUAUCUAAUUGUCUAAUGUCAAUUGGUGCGAGGGUGAAAACUAAGCCAUAUAUUGAUGUGAUGGCUAAUCUAAGGUAAAGGUAAGGGUUAGUAAAUUAUACACACGUAGCCCAACCAAGAUGCGGAGUGAAAUUCCCUACUUGUAGGACCAAUCACUAUGGGAUACCUAUCUUACCAGCUUUGCAUGUAAAACACUUGGAAAUGAUUACUAUUAUUAGGAUUAUCGCGUUAUGAGAUUAUGGGGAACACAUACACCCUAGUUUCUCUCUCAUAUUGAUAACUCGAAGUUUGAAUCUUGCUCACUUGUUACUUAAACAACAAUCAGUUAUUCGUUUCACAAAUCCCCCCCCCCUUUUAUUUACUUUUCUCAAAAAUAACUUGGCUAAACGAAUAUAAUAAUGAGUUAAGUUUAAGUUUGAACCAUAUUCUUCGUGGGAUCGACCCCAACCUACAAGUUAGGUUCUUUAUUUAACGACGAUCGUUUAUACUUCUUUAGGGAAGUGUAAUUUGAGCGUAUCAAAUUUUGGAGCCGCUGCCAGGGAAUAAGGCAUUUGGAUUAACUUUAACUACAUUAUUGACCUUUAGUCAAUUAUUUUCUAAUUUUAUGUUUUCUUUUGUUUUUGUUUUCUACAGGUUUCUACUCUAGUGUAUGCCAAGUACACGGAGUCGAGGCGAACCAUUGACCCCAUACGAUCCUGAACUAAGCAAGAAUUUGCGAAGAAUAGAAAAUCAAGGGGGUAAUAAUAAUCCAGUCAUAGAGGUGCAUGAGGAUGGAGUGAAUAAUGAGAAUGCUCAGGUUCCUAGGGGUAAUCUACUCGGAGAUGCACUGAGCAUGCAGAAUCCACCAGAACCAAUGUUGCGUGAUAACUACAGGGUCGACUUCAACACCGUUGAAUCAGAAGGACCUAUUGUUCUCCCACCUCUACCUCCAGGGCAGACUGAUGCAAAUGCUUACAGUAAGAGAGUAAUUUUCAGUAUGGCUUCGGAAGAUCCGCAUGGGCACAUGGCAGAGUUGAGGAGUGUCUGCAAAAGUUGUGUGGGACGACCGGAGUUGGAUAUGAAUGUCAUAGGGUUUAGAGUCUGUCACGACCCGAGCCUACACCCCGGAUGUGACACAACAUACAAGACUCCGAAGAGCCUCAUACAAGCCUUAUAGCAUUCAUAACAUAAGACAUAAGAAAAUGGUGCAGAAUUAAAAACUUUUUAUCCAUACAAGCGAAGUCUUUAUUUAAAAGCAAAGCGGAAGUCUACUUGUCUCAUUUAGCCAUCUAAUACAAUCGAGUAUCAAGAAGGGUCACAACCCUUUACAACAUAGUCUCAAAAGAGAAUGUAAGAAGUAAACUAGAAAUAAGCAACUCUCAUCCUCGAACCAUGAGGAUUCACCAAAAGUGUGGAGAGAAUCAAUCUAAGCUUUGAACAAUAGAAGAGCACCUUAAAUACCGGAACCUACACUUUGUAGAAAAAUGUAGAAGAAAUAUGGGUUAGUACAAGAAUGCACUAAGUAUGAUAGCCAUGCAAAAAUCAUGCUAAAAAUGACAUUUUAGUUGAAAACCAUGCUAUAUGCCAAGUUUGAGAAACAUCAUGAACUUUAGUAUAAAGGCAUGAUUCACGAUCAUAUUCGUCAUGCAAACCAUUAUAACAUAAUAGAACCAUCUCUUAGGUAACCCCAAGUUAUACUUGUGCAGUGUAUGAAUGAAAUCCCAUAAUACCAUUCACACUAAGUACCCUUUGAGGCCACCAUAGACAAGGAACAUUCACAUUCAAUAAGUCAUAUCAAGGAAAGCAACUCAUUACCUCAAUACAAGUUAAGCAUUCAUCAUUACAUUUAGCCUUCAUGUCAAUAUUCUCAAUAGCAUCAUUAUAAGCAUAUUCAUUUCAUUAGACAUUAUGACAUUCGAGGAACACACCAUAACCACUCUCAAAGCCUACUCGUGCAAUGCAUGAAUGGAAUCCCAUACUACCACCCACACUUCAUAGAACUCUUUGAGUAACCAUAGUACAUAACUCACAUGAUGGGAAUAAGCCCUAACCGACAUAGACCAUGUGAGCAAAUCAUGGAAUCAUGUGUCAUAUCCCACACCAAAAAGAGUUGGUCUACUUGCCUAAGGUAGAACCGAUAAUUUAGCUUAGGUGUAUCCACUAGGUAAUAACCUAUGCGGGCACAUAGUUAUGUGAUAUGAAGGUUGUUACUAGAAACCCGACCUAACAUGGGGAGAGCUUCAACCUCACAAUAUCCACUCGGUGCUAAGCAUUACAUUCCCAUAGAGUAGUUCAUUCUUUUUUAACAUUAUAACACAUGAGAGGAAUGCCAUUGGCCUAUCGACUCAAGAUACAUUAUUACACAUAAAAUAAAUGCCAUUGGCCUAUCGAUUUAAGGUACAUUAGGAUAACUCAUUGAAUCCUCAUGAGAGGGAAUGCCAUUGGCCUAUCGAUUCAAGAUUCAUCAUUACAAUAGUUCAUUGACUCAUUAUGAAAGGAAUUCCAUUGGCCUAUCGAUUCAAAUCAAAGCCUUAGAAUACUUCAUUAGUCAUUUAUGAAAGGGAUGCCAUUGGCCUACCGAUUCAAGAUUCAUUAAGUCAAGAUACUUUAAAUUACACAUGAAGAGGAUUCCCUAAGCCUACCAAUUCAUGAUACAUUAUACAUUGAGGAAACCUUCACAACAUGUAAUCAUCAUUCACAAGUGUAUAAUUGAGAAUAACCUUGCAACAACAACACAAUUGCAUUAUAGUCAUAAAGGACCAUGAAUCAUAAUUCACCAACACACCUAGAAUUACUAUAAUUAGGCAUGUAUAAUAACAUGAUUCGUGUAAUUAAACUACUACAAGAACAAUCCCAUAAUAUUCAUCUUACGACAAUUCACCCACAUCAUAAAGUCAUAAAUUAGGGUUAUAGGGAAUUCAUGGAUUCAUGGGAGAUUUUAUCAUAAAAACACCAUAAAACAGAAAUUCAUUCAUAAUAUAUGAUAAUUAAAUCAUUGAAAACGUUUUUAGGAAGAAUCCAUGACUUGGAGUAAAAACCCUAAGUUUUGGAGAAUUUCCUUCUUUGAAAUUGAAAGUUUGAAGGAUCCAUGAAAGAAAGCUUUCCAUGAAUCAAGACUACCAUACCUUAAUGGAGUUUUCCCACUAAUUUGAGAAGAAAAACCCUGGUUCUUCAAGCCCUAGCCUCCACUUCUUCUUCCUUUUCUUUGGAAAUUCUAGAGAGAGAAAUUUUGGAGAAGAUGAACUCCUUUGGGUUUGAUUUGGGUCUUUGGGGUUAAUGAAGUAACAGGGUUGGUUUAUGACUUAGAAGCAUUUAUAUAUGUGAAAUAAAACAAUAUAAAUCGACCCCAAUAAUUAAUUAACUAAUUUGGAAUUUACCAAAACACCCCAACUAGGCAUCCUCUUCCCAGGGACUACGCCCACCUUCACGACCCGUCAAGGGCACCACGGCCCGCGGUGGUGCCCGUGGUCCCUUGACCAGUAGCCUCUCCAACUUGACAAGCCUCGCAUGAGGCUAAGGCACAAGAGCCUUCCCACGGUCUGUGGCCUUCACCACGAGCCGUGAAGUGGCUCAUGAAUAUGAGCCUUUGGAGCACAUUGCCUCACCAACCACAGGUGGAACCACGACUCAUGGUGGCCACCACGGGUCGUGAAGACCCUCGUGGUCAUGGUGGGCAUUGUCUAGGUGCUUUCUUGGCAGCUUGGCCCCCUUGCCAUGGCCCUCAUCCAAGAACCUUGACCCUUAACCUUAACCCUUGAUGUUAGCCCUCACGUUUAGGCUCUAGUUUAACCUACUAAUUUCUGAGGUGUUACAGAGUCUUCCCUAUAUCAUUGACCGGAGAUGCUACGGUGUGGUUUUCUGAGCUUCCGUACAACUCGAUUCAUACAUCGGACCAAUUGCACAAAAUGUUCAUGGAAAAGUAUAUUUCGUUAUCCAAGAAGCUGAAUCACAAGGACAAACUGAACAACUUUGUAGCACUACCUGGAGAGUCUGUGAGCAGUUCAUGCGAGAGGUUCACUGUAUUCAUAAGAAGUGUUCCGAAUCACCGCAUUGAUGAUGAGUCACUGAAUGAGUACUUCUACAGAGGUCAGGAUGACAAUAGCAAAGCGGUACUAGAUACUAUUGCUAGGGGAUCAUAUGGUGAGUGAACUUUUAAGGAGAUCGCUGAGAAAUUGGAGAAGAUUUCCCAAAAUAAUAAAGCAUGGAGCACUAGAAAGUCAGAAACUGGAAGAAGCACAUUUGCAGUUUAAGUUGCACCUAGUCAAUUUGCCGAUGACAUUCGUGAGGAGAUGGCUCAAAUGAGGACAAAACUUAGAUUGGUGUUGAAGCAUGUGAGCGGAGGUGCAGAAAAGAUGAAUGCAGUAAACUACUUAACUAGAACUCUACCACUACCAGUUGAGAAAUGCUACUAUGAUGAGGAUGCUUAUUUGGUAAAUGAUCAGACGGGGGGUUUUCGAGCCUACGCCCAAGGUUCCAAUUUGGAUAAUUGGUGCCAAGGUCGGAACUAUGGUAAAUACAAUCGAAAGGGUCAUUAUGUCCGGGAUGGGAACUACAAUCGCUACAACAAUUACAACCGGAACAAUUAUAGCAACAAAAACGAGAAAGUUGGGCCUUAUGUUCCACCUGCAAAUCAGGAAUCUGGCAAUAGAGAAGUUGGGGGUAGUAUGUCACGAAUUGAGGAUAUAAUGCAGAAGAUGAUGAAGAGGUUUGAUACGACUGAUGAUAAUGUGAAAGAGAUGCAGAAAGACUUGUCUGGAAUCGGUCAAAAGUUGAUGCCCAUGCAGUGUCGAUAAAGCAACUUGAGCAACAAUUUAGAAAGUUAACAACUACUGUUAACUCAUGUCAGCCUAGCACACUUCCUAGCAACACCAUCCAGAAUCCAAAAAAUGAUGAACAUUGUAUGGCAGUCACGACUCGAGGAGGUAAACAUACCAUUGAUCCCUUUAUGUCGUCUAAGGUUGAAAUUGUUGUAGAAAAAGAUGAAAAUGAGGUCGAGGAUGCUGGAGAGUCCAAGAAUCCUACAGAGAAGGAAAUAGAGGUGACCCAAAAAGUUAUUCUCAUACCUAAACCUCCACCAGCCAUUCCCACAGAGGUUGGUAAAAAAGACGGAAGAAGGAAAAUAUCGUAGGUUCAUUACGAUGUUGAAACAACUUUCCAUCAAUGUUCCGUUAAUAGAGGCUUUGGAGAAAAUGCGUGGGUAUGCAAAGUUUAUGAAGGAUUUGGUGACCAAAAAGAGGGUUGUUAGCUUUGAGAAUGAUGAGAGGUUGCAACAUUGCAGUGCUAUUGCUACUAGGUCACUUGUGUAGAAGAAAAAGAUCCUGGUGCUUUCACUAUUCCUUGUACCAUUGGGUUGUUGCAUUUUGCAAAUGCGUUGUGUGAUUUGGGUGCUAGCAUUAAUCUGAUGUCAUUGUCUAUCUACAAAAAGUUGGGGUUUAAGGACUCCGAAACCAGCUAUUCAUAGACGAUAGAACUGUGAAGAAGCCCAUUGGUGUUCUCCAAGAUGUCAUCGUGAAAGUGGAGUCAUUCAUUUUUCUGGCGUAUUUUGUGAUACUUGAUUAUGAGGUUGAUUUUGAGGUUCCCAUCAUCCUAGGGAGACUAUUCCUUGCUAUUGGGCGUGUCUUGGCUGAUAUGGAGAGAGGGCAGAUGAAGUUUCGAUUGAAUAGUGAAGAGGUAACUUUUAAUAUUUGUAGAUCUAUGAAGCAUGUCAAUAUCAGUGGUGAAUCAUAUUGUGGAGCGAGGUUCUGAUGUGUCUAUUGAAGAGAGGUUGGGUGUUGAUGCAUUGGUAGCGGUAAUGAUGAAUUUUGAGGGUAAUGGUAUUGAAGACUAUGAUGAAUUAGUUGCCGCACUUGAUAUGUUUGAAUUUUGUUCCAAACCAAAGAAAUUGGAGUUAGAUAUGAAGAAUUGCGACUCUGCACCCGCAAAACCGUCCGUUGAAGAGGCUCCAAAAUUGGAGCUCAAGGCUCUACCAUCACAUUUGAGGUAUGUAUUCUUAGGGAGAGAUGGUACUUUACCGAUCAUCAUUGCGGCAGAUUUGAGAGUGGUACAAGUUGAGGCAUUGGUUUUUGUGUUGAAAAGGUUCAAGAUGGCUAUUGGAUGGACUAUUGCGGACAUUAUUGGGAUUCCUCCUGGCAUUUGUUCUCAUAAAAUCCAACUCAUGCCGGACCACAAGCCUAGUAUCAAGCGACUAAAUCUGCUUAUGCAAGAGGUAAUGAAAGGAAAUCAUCAAGUGGUUGGAUGCUGGAGUCAUAUACCCCAUCGCGGAUAGUAGUUCGGUCUGUCAUGUUCAGUGUGUUCCAAAGAAAGGUGGAAUUGCUAUGGUUCCUAAUGUGAAAAAUGAGUUUGUUCCGAUGCGGCCAGUGACUGGAUGGAGAGUAUGCAUAGACUAUCAAAAAUUGAAUGCUUCGAAAAAAAUGAUCAUUUCCCUAUGUCGUUCAUGGAUCAAAUGCUGGAUCGCCUUGCUGGUAAUGGUUUGUAUUAUUUUCUUGAUGGGUAUUUGGGCUACAAUUAGAUCUCCAUAGCUCUAGAAGACCAAGAGAAGACCACCUUCAGUUGCCCUUAUGGGACUUUUGCCUUCAAACGGAUGACCAUUGGGUUGUGUAAUGCUCUAGCGACCUUCCAACGUUGCAUGAUGUCGAUAUUUUCAAAUAUAGUGGAGGACACUAUUGAGAUAUUUAUGGAUGAUUUCUCUAUGGUAGGUGACUCAUUUGAUGGUUGUUUGAUGUAUUUGGCCGAGUUACCGAAACGGUGUGAGAAGUGCAAUAUUGUGCUCAAUUGGGAAAAGUACCACUUCAUGGUGAAAGAGGGGAUUGUUUUGGGUCAUCGAAUUUCUGAGAAGGGUAUUGAGGUUGAUAGAGCUAAAGUUGAGGUAAUAGAAAAGCUUCCACCACUUAUCUCUAUUAAAGGUGUUAGAAGUUUUCUUGGGCAUGCAGACUUUUAUUGGAGGUUUAUCAAGGAUUUUCUCCAAAAUUGCACACCCAUUGUACAAAUUGCUCGAAAAGGAGUGUAAGUUUUGAUUUUGAUGAUGCUUGUCUGAGAGCAUUUAAAGAGUUGAAAGCAAAGAUAGUUUCUGCACCUAUCAUUAUUUCACCGGAUUAGGGAUAACCGUUUGAAGUGAUGGGUGAUGCGAGUGGAGUGGCACUUGGUGUGGUAUUGGGGCAGAGGCGAGAGAAGAUUCUUCAUCUGAUUUACUAUGCUAGCAAAGCUCUGAAUGUGGCUCAAAAGAACUAUACGGUGACUGAACAUAACCUCCUUGCUGUGGUUUUCGCAUUACAGAAAUUUCGAUCCUACUUGCUUGGUACUAAGGUCAUAGUGCAUACUGACCAUUCUGCAUUGUAUCCGAUGGCUAAAAAAGAUGCAAAACCAAGGUUGAUUAGAUGGGUAUUGUUGCUGUAAGAGUUCGAUUUUGAGGUGAAAGAUAGAAAGGGGGAUAGAAAAUCAAGUUACCGAUCAUUUGUCCAGAUUAGAGGAGGAAGUUAUGCUCAAUCUAGGAGAUGGGGCUAAAAUUAAUUAUGCCUUUCCAGACGAACAUGUAUUGGCUGCAUCUGUAGAUCUUAUUCCUUGGUUCGCGGACUUUGCUAACUACUUGGCAAGUGAUCUAGUUCCUUGUCGUUUACCAAAGGAAAAAGUUUAUGCAUGAUGCGAAGAAGUUCUUUUGGGAUGAGCCUUACCUGUUCCGUAUUUGUGCUUAUGGGAUUAUUUGUCGUUGUGUACCCGAGGUUGAGAUCAUUAGUAUACUAAAGGCGUGUCAUUCAUCGCCUGUUGGUCAGCAUCAUAUUGGUAUUCAGACUACUCAUAAAAUCUUGCAGUGUGGGUAUUACUAGCCUACCGUCCACCAAAAUGCUCAUGAUUUCGCCAAGUCUUGUGAUCGUUGCCAAGGAGAAUGAGGAAUUUCAAAGAGGCAAGAGCUACCUAUUAAUCUGAUAUUGGUGAUUGAGUUGUUUGAUGUAUGGGGCCUUGACUUUAUGGGACCAAUUAUGAGUUCACAUGAGAUGAAGUAUAUUCUUGUUACGGUUGAUUAUGUGUCGAAAUGGGUGGAAGCAAUUGCGCUUUCAAACAAUGAAGGGAAAAGUUUCAUCGCAUUCUUGAAAAAGAGUAUAUUCUCCAGAUUUGAUACACCUAGGGCAAUUAUCAACGAUAGAGGUUCCCACUUUUGUAAUAAGUUGUUCAAGGCGUUGCUAGAGAAAUAUGGAGUCCGUCACAAUGUAGCCACUCCUUUCCAUCUGCAGUCUAGUGGGCAAGUUGAAGUGUCAAACAAAGAGAUAAAGCAAAUCCUUGCAAAGACUGUGAAUGUCAAUAGAACUGAUUGGUCAAGGAGGCUUGAUGAUGCUCUAUGGGCCUAUUGCACCGCAUUCAAGACUCCCAUAGGUGUGUCCCCCUACCAACUUGUAUAUAAGAAGUCGUGCCAUUUUCCGGUAGAGCUAGAGCACAAGGCUAUGUGGGUGCUAAAGAAGUAGAAUUUGGAUUGGGGCGCCGCAUCGAAUCAAAGAGUGAAUGACAUGAAUGAGCUUGAUGAGUUUUGCCUAAAAGCAUAUGAAAGUUCAGCAUUGUACAAGGAGAAGAUGAAGAAGUAUCAUGAUCAAAAGAUUGAAAAGCGUGAAUUUGUUAUGGGUGAUCUAGUGCUUCUAUUCAACUCAAGGUCGCGCUUGUUUCUUGGAAAACUCAAGUCCAAGUGGACCGGGCCAUUCAAAGUCACUCAAGUGUUUCCACAUGGAGCGAUCGAGCUCAAGAACAAGGAGGGAACAAGGUUCAAGGUAAACGGGCAGAGGAUCAAAGUCUACAUGGGGAAACUGGAGAGUGUGCAAGAACUAAUUGACACUUAUUACCUUGAUAAAGUUUGAGUAAUCAAGGGACCUGCAUCGUGCCGCGACGUUAAAUCAAGCAUUGCUUGGGAGGUAACCCAAUAUGUACAAUCUAGCCAACUAUAAGUUUUUCUUUUCGAUUUAGGCGUUUUCUUCUUUUAUUUUAAUUUCUGUAAUUCUUUAGAUAAGUGUUUUAUUUUUGUAUUAGUGCUGGCUAGAUAUAGAAUAGGGUCCGUGUCUAAAAAGUGUCCAGAAAAUGUAAAAAGAAAGUCCUAAUGGUUGCUAUGUGUGCAGGGGCAAAAGGCAGAAUCUGCAGAAAAAUAGUUAUGCAGGGGCAAAAGGCAGAAUCUGCUGAAAAAUAGUUGUGCAGUGGUCUACGGACCCCAUCGAUGGUCCAUGGGUCCAUCCACGGAUCGUGAAUAGCGUCCGUAGACCCCAGGUAAGUUUUCUAAAAUUCUAAGUGUCAGAGUGACCUACGGGUCGGACCAAUGGUUCGUAGGUCAACCCACGAACCGUCAACCGGGUCUCGUGAGUCCAAAAAUUAGGGUUUGCCCGACCCGACCCAGACACCUCUAACCUCUCAUUCGUAAUUCAUUCCCCACAUUCAAAACUCCCUCCCAACCAUUUUUAAACCUUUUCUCUCCCACAAUCACUCCAUUUAAUCCCAAUAUCCCACAGAUCAAGUCCCCAUUCAAGUCCCCAAUUCUCAAAUCAUCCUUCUCCCUUCCAAAUCCCUCAUCUCCAUUCUCCAAUGAUUCCACAAGUCCAUGUUUUAUGUCAAAGGGAUAGCAAAGGUAUAAACGAAUCUAUUGCAUCAUCACACUCACCCACUUCAAUUACUUAAAAGGUAAACGACUUCACCCUGACUUUGAAUUCACUGUUCAUUGUUUGUAUCAUGAAGUCCCGAAGUUGGAACUUAACCUUGGGUUGUUAAUGUCGUGUUUGAUUGUUAAAUUGUAUGUUGAAAACACCCUUGGUAUGAUGGUAUGUGAGUGUGUAAUUACUUAAAACUGAAUAAUUCCAGUUAAUAGGCCAAAUUGGAAGUUUUGACUUAGGGUUCAUGGGUAUCGGUGUGAUAAAUUGUGAAAUUCUGUAAAAUUGGAACCCUAAGGAUGAUUAACUACCAUAUUACUUGUUGAAAUGCAUGUAUAGGCCUAAGUUGUUUAAAAUUGGUGAAGGAACAGGAUUGAAAGAAGUGAACCAUCUGAAACCUGGCACAGCCUGACCCACGAGACCCCGUUUACGGACCGUAGGUCAGAUUCGUGGGCCAGAAGCACACAAUUUGUUUUGCUAAGGUCGAACCACGGUGUGGACUACGACAAACCAUUCUGCACAUUCGUAGUUCCCACAUGAGAGACCCAAUUUUGGGUACUCUGACCUACGGAGGGGACCUACAGACCAUAGGUCAACCCAUGGACCGUAGGUACCCACCGUGGAUUGGCAGUUCACCUACUACCCAGAUUUUUUAAAGUUUUUUGUUUUGAUUUGUUUCUUGUUCUAAAAUUCUUCUAAGUGUGUUAUUUGCUUGUUUUGGUACUAACUAAGCUUCUACAGGUACGAUGUCCCCCAAGCAGGCUCUUACUUACGCCGCAAAAGGCAAAUCAAAAUUUGUAGCACCUUUCUUGCGGCUGAUCGAUGAGGAUACGGAUGUAGAGUACGUUCCACCUCCCACCAGGACUUCCCCCACUGUUCCAUGCAUUACACAGAAUCGAGCCCGACGGGUGAUUCCCGACGUGGUCACUGCCCCUAGUCUAAUGAGAGGGAUGCACCGAUUGGAUCACCGGUUAGCUCUGAGUCCGCAUCCAGCUCCAGUUCUAACGGCAUGACCGCCUCGUCUUCUGAGGCUAAUAGUGUGGGUGACAUUUCAGUCCCCCCAGUAACAACCCUGCACCAGUUGCUGAGGAGCCGAAUCGAUGGUGUGUGAAGAGCUAAUUUUAGUUAUAUAGAGAUGCCACCAUGCUGAAUGAGAACGAUAAGAUGGCUCAACUAGUCACCAAUGAGCGUCGGGUUCUCACAGGUAGACUCCAGAUUGCUCCCGCCAACCACGAUCUUCUUCGGAGGCACAUGUGUUAGUGGAUGGCACGUUGCCCAGGGUCCUAUAGUGAGGAGAUAGUACGGGAGUUCUACACUUCCUAUGCAGCCACCAUCAGAGGGUCCAUCUCCAAGAGGGCAAAGUCCACAGCUCAGCCUCCACUUGAGGCUACAUUAGUUCAGGGUUUUUCUGUGGACAUCUCCGAGAUCACCCUCCACAGGUUCAUCUAUGGCCCAAACCAUACUCUUCCCAUCAAUACAGAUGAAUUCGACUAUCAGAUGGGCAUUCUUCAGAGUAGAGCAUUUCAGCGAGAUGCCGAGCAGAGGGAGUCCCUUGUGAGAUGGUUGGCCCGACAUCUUGCUACUAAUGGAGAGCGUAUCGAGUAGGUCUAGACCCCGAGUUUGGGUAUUUAGAAGGCGACCCUGACCUUUGCCGCUAAAUUUUUCUGGUUACUGGUGCGUAACCGUGCGUCCCCUACUCAGGUGGAUAAUAUGCUCACAUGGGAUCGUGCAGUUAUGGUUCCAGCUAUGGUUGCCAGUUUGGAGAUAGAUUUUGGUCGCAUCCUGAUUGCAGUGAUCUAUGAGAGGGCUUUCAAGGCCACCACUAUUUUUCCUUUCCUCUGCCUCAUCUUCCAGCUUUGCAGGGACUCCGGUGUACUAGUAUGGCAUUGUGACCGGUUGCUUCAGGCAACCAAGACUCUUAAUAUCGGCCUUAUUUGGGAUGAGGCCAAUGUAGUUGCACCUCGCAGGGAACCACAGGUUGAGGUGCCACCGUUAGGCGAUGAUCUUGUAGUAGUUGUGGAGCCGAUGCAGGAUGGUGACACUACCCCUCCAACCACUACAGUAGAUGCCCAGGCUCUUCUGUCUCCGGCCGCCAGUCAGGCCUCUAGCUCUUCCAGAGCCACUCAUUCUUUCGGUUCCACCGCCAUCCCUUUAGCUCGAGUACAGAAGCUAGAGGCACAGAUGGCCACCCUACUUCAGCAUGUGAGGCAAUGGAUGCAGCGUGCUAUAGCAAAGUUCAAAACGAUGGUUGAGCAGUGAAUGAAGCAUAUGAUGGACCAAAAGGUACAUGCCGUUCAUCAGCGCCUGGAUGCCUUUGAGUUGUGAGUCCUAGAAAGGCCGGUCUCGAUCGUUGAUGUGACCACCCUCAAAAAGAAGUUAGAGAGCCUCUGUGCUGAUGUUUUUGUAUUUCUCGCUCCCCCCGAGACUGAGCCAAAGUCUGCCUCUACGGCACUGUUUGAUGAUGUGGUGAUGAGUGCCCUAUUCGGAGAUGAUAUGCCACCACCAGAUUCUUCAUGUGCUGCUGGGAAGCACCUCCGCUCCGAUCGCACUUCUGAUGAUACUGAGGCUGAGAGAGUGAGAAAGAGGGAGCGCCAGAAGACUGGGGUAGCUCGGAGGGCAUCUAUAGUUGACGAGAAGAUAAGACAAUAGAGGGCCAGAGAGAUAGGUGUGGGCCCAUCUAGCGGUGUGAGCACUACUGACAGUGCUUUCAGAGUUGAUGAGAGCACUGCUGAGAGUGCUGGGAUAGUAGAUGGGAGCGCUACUGAUGCCGUUGAUGUUUAUCGUAAUCAACGACACAAACUUCCAAUUCAAUGUGUCUACGAUCGUGCAAUAGUAUAAUAACCCAACCAAGGGUUGGGGUCGUCCCAAGGGUGUGGUUUUAAGAAUUAAUAGAAAAAUAAAACCUAGUUCUAACUAGUCGUAGCUAAAGCUAUUAACGAGUAAAAACAUAGUAAAUAAAAGGGGGUGACACAAAUCCCCGGCAGUGGCGCCAUUUUGAUGCUUAUCGUGACCAACGAUAGUAACCCACAGUUAAAGUGUCUACGAUCGUUGAUAAUAUAGUAACCCAACCAAGGGUUGGGGUCGUCCCAAGGGUGUGGUUUUAAGAAUUAAUAGAAAAAUAAAACCUAGUUCUAACUAGUCGUAGCUAAAGCUAUUAACGAGUAAAAACAUAGUAAAUAAAAGGGGGUGACACAAAAGUGUCAAAUAUCAAGUGGGGGUUUUGUCACAAUUAGUUAAAAACAACAAAAAUUAACAAGAAAGUCAAGUAUGGGGAAAGGUUCUUGGGGUGUGACCGCAAUACAAGUUGAGAUAAAUCAUUGGGUACAUGCUUUCGAUAGAAAAUUUGCAAGAUAAUAGUGACUAGGCUAAGCUUUAGGUGGAAAUAAGUUCCCUCUCGGGCAACUUACCCCGUUUCAAAUGGGUUUCUCUCGGACACUCAUUUGCCGCAUGAAGACCAACCUACUCCUUACCCCACUCACUCUCUCAAGCUGAGUGUUAGGAUAUGGGACUAGGGCUCACCCUCUCGGGCUGAACCUCAUGUCGACCCACUUCUUAGACCAUCAGUCUAGUGGUCUUGGUUUCGCAACCUCCUUCUCGGGCAAGCCGAAAACACAUGGGUAGAUUUGUCUUUGCAACUACAAACCCAUUAGAUUCAACCACAACCACUAGGUGAAAUCACAAUUAAAGUACAUCUAACCUAUCAGUAAGUCAAACCCAACAAGAAUAUCAACCCAUAUUUGCUAAAUCACACCCCAAGAAUGGGGUUUUUAGCCACACAUCAAGAAAUAACAAAAUACACCUAACAUGUUACUAAAAUCACAUGGGUAUAAGAAAUUAAACCUUGAUUUAAGCAAAGGAAGAAGAAUGGAGAAAACCCACUUCCAACUUGGGGAAGAUGAAAUCCUUCUUUCUUCAAGUCUCCCAAAAAACCCUCUCCAAACUUGAGAAAAAAAUAUCUGGAAAAAGUACUAUUCUAUUCUAAAAAUUACAAUAAUAAUCGUCUCACUAAAAAUAAUAAAGAAUUUAGUAUUUAUAGCUAUCAGAAAUUUGUGCUGGAAAAUAUUUCGGCGCAAUUAGUCAAGUUCGCCGAUUGACUCGGCGACUCGCCCUUGUUCUGUCUUAUCGCCAUUUUGUGCUUUCCUUCAGCAUCUUCACGUCUGGACCGUUGGGUGGUAUAGUACUGCUUUGCGGAACUAUUCGGUAAAGCGCCGACUACUUCCUUUCAUCGCAUAUUUGAUCCUCCUCAUUCGGGGCUUCGCGUACUGGAAUAAAGGGCGGAAUCGGUCCCUUUGGCGACUCGCCGAGUGUACUUGGCGGAUCUCAAGCUUCAGCUUCUUCGUCCUUUGUAGCCUUUUUGUUCCUUUUUGCGCCUAAGUGUCCAUGCUUCCCUUAAAACUUCAAAUACCUGAAACUUAAGAGUUUUCAUCAGGUAUUUAGACAAAACAAGCAUUCGAGUACACUAUUUCUAUCAGAAUACAGCCCUAAAUGAGUCCAAUUUGUGGACUCAUCAGUCGUUCCGAGUGUUGAUCCAGCGGGCUCCGAGAAACCGGACCCAUCUGCUCCUUGACCAAUCUUCGGCGCAUAAGCGCUACAGGUUUGCUUCACCUGAUCCUUUGCUUUUUACUUUUUGUGCAUUGGGGACAUUUGCACUUUAUUUUGUUGGGGAUGGAGUAAAUGGAUUUUGAGUGAUAUGAUGAAGUCUGAGUAAUCCAACUCAUAAUCCUCUCUUCAGAUUUUUUUGCCUGUGUUCUUUUCCCCCAAGAGACUGUUUUAAUUUAUGUUGAACCGGCAUGUUUAGGAAUGUAUGUGUAGGAGUAAGUAGAAAAAUUAAAGCAUGAUAGCAUGAAAAAAAUUAUCCCUGUCCAAAAAUGGUGAAAUGUGCUAGUUCGAUCGUCUUGAUGAGUUGAAUGUGUUAGAUCUCAAUGUGACAUGAUAGGGAACCGAUUUGACCUCAUGACUUAGGCUAAAACUUGAACUGGGUAAUCUGGUAAUGUAACAAUGUGCCAAGAGUGUGUGAGAAAAGUUGAAUGUUCAGACAGUAUGUGUCAAUCUAAAACUUGCCACAUCGGUCCUGCUAAGAUAAUCUAGGAAAGAAGUUGGGAAGUUAUCAUAGGCCCUUAUUCAAAUUAGUCCACUUAAGCCUAAAAUGAUCCAACCAAAUGAAAUCAAUGAUCCCUUUUAUCCAAAUGUUUGAGCCUGAAAUAGACCAUUUCUUUUGAAUCACCUAACUCACCUUUCCUAAAAUAAUUGUCUUGGCCCCGGUCCCUUCUUGGACAUGUGCACCUUGACUUAGGACAAAAGCUUAAGUUUAGGGUGGCUACUGCAAAAAAUUACCUUGAUCUUAACUCUGGUCCAACAUCGGAUAUUGUGCACCUCAACUAAUGCAAAAUCAAUAAGUUGAGGGUGGCUAUGAAAAAGGAAACCGAAAGAAAAAAAAGGUAUGAAAAGAGUUUUGUGUUGAAGAAAGAAAAAGAAAAAAUAGAAAAGGAUGUGACUUUGUGCAAAAGAAGCAACAAGAUGAUAAAUAAAAGUGUUGAAAGAAAUAGAGAAAAAAAAAUAAAGUGAAAGAAAAAAAAUAAAGUGAAAAAUAAGAACCACAAAGUCAAAAGUCACAUCCAUGAUGAAAAGAGACAAGGGAAAGAAAGUAAAAUAAAAGGAUGUCAAAAAUAGGUUGAGAAGAGAGGUAAAAAGUCAAUGUAAUGUCAAGGAGGGUAGAAAGUCACUAAAAAGUACCCAAAUGUACCACACCUGACCCUGAGCCUACGUUAGAAGCUAAGAAAGUCCUAUAGUGAUCCUAGCAACUAGUUUGGAGAGUCUAAGCAGUGAAAAUAAGGGUAAGCCUAUGGUAUUGAGCACUAACUAUACUUGAAGUCACUUUUGAGCGUGAGUGUUGAAUAAAUCCUAAAACUCAAAAUUCAUAUCUUCUGUGUGAAAAGGAUUUCGUUUGAAGUGAGGGCACUAGUUACAUUGUCGGAAAGUUGGUACCUUGGUGAUUAUGAAAAGUGUAUGUUGUGGUGUCUAUUGGUCGAUCUUUGUCAUAUCUUGAUCCGCAUGAGUUAGGUUGUUGAGUCUAAUAAAAAGGAUUUGCACUAAGAAGAUGGAAUGGGUUGAAAUAGCCAUAUGAUUGCUGAGUUUGUACAUCUACUUCUACGCAAGUGUCGUUUAGAGUGUUAGUGUCUCACUUGAGGACAAACAACAUGUUUAAGUUGAGGGUGUUGAUAUAUCGUGAGUUUACAGUAUUUUUUAUACAUUUCACUUAAGAGUUGUGUGUAUCUAGGGCCAUUUUGUAUUAGAAAUAAUGUUUUUGUAUUAUGUUUGCAGGAAAUAAGCUUUGGCGCAGUUGAGUGAGAUGACAGUUGAAAUUCUGCAGCAGUGGCCAUCCACGGAGGGACCUACGGACCGUAGGUCCUGUGACGGUCCGUCGAUGGGUAGGCAUAGAUAGGAGCAUCAGGGAAGUCUGACCAAGUGUGGAACUACGAAGCGAUCCACGGACCGUAGGUCGACCUACGGGCCGUCCUGCACAUCCGUAGAAGGUGUUCAGAGAGUUGAAGUUCCAGUACCUGAUGAAAAUCCUAAGUGUGGAGCCAUGGAAGUUCCGUUAUGCACGUCCGUCGUUGAUGAACUGGGAGUUGAAGGAUCCUGCCUCUGUGGAAAAGUUCUAACUGUUGACCAACGGAGGGGACCUACGGACCGUAGGUCGACCCACGGUCCGUAGGUCGAGUCGUCGUUCAAAGCCGCUUCCCAGAAGUUAUUUCCUUAUUUUGUUUAGGACAUGUUUUUCUAUAAAUAGGGUAUGUAAACCUCGUUUUUUGGGGUUAGACAUUAUUGUUUACUUUUAGGUCUUGAUAUUUUCUUAGGAAUUAACUUGCAAACUUCGGCAAUUUGAUUUUCAGAUUUCGGUUUAUAUGAUUUUUGCUUUGAAAUUCAGUUCGAGAUUACGGGUUUCUUCUACUCUAAACGUAAGUUCAUGAAUUCUUCUUAUCAAAACAUGAAUUGUGUUCUUUCAAGCAUGAGUAGUUAAAUCCACAACUAAGGUUGUGGGAACCAUGAGCAAUUAACAACGUAUGAAUAAUAACUAAGUAAUUCUUAAAUAGUGUUGAUGCAUGCAUUGGUAAUUCUUUCGCUUAGAAGUCUUUUUAACGAGUGCACGCGUUAGAACUCACCUUGUUGCUACUUGCUGGACCAAGGAGGUAGUUAAUAAGAAAAGAAUUAUCAACAAAGAUUUAGUGUGGUACUAUCUAAUAGUCUAAUGUCAAUUGGUGCGAAGGUGAAAACUAAGUCAUACAUUGAUGUGAUGUCUAAUCUGAGGUAAAGGUAAAGGUUAGUAAAUUGUACACACGUAGCCGGACCAAGCUGCGGAGUGAAAUUCCCUACUUGGAGGACCAAUCACUUAGGGAUACCUAUCUUACCAGUUUUGCAUGUAAAACACUAGGAAAUGAUUACUAUUAUUAGGAUUACCGCGUUAUGAGCUUAUGGGGAACACAUACACCCUAGUUUCUCUCUCAUAUUGAUAACUCGAAGUUUGAAUCUUGCUCACUUGUUACUUAAACAACAAUCAGUUAUUCAUUUCACAAAUCCUCCCCCCACCCCCCACCCCCUUUAUUUACUUGUCUCGGAAAUAAGUUGACUAAACGAAUAUAAUAGUGAGUUAAGUUUAAGUUUGAACCAUAUUCUUCAUGGGAUCGACCCCAACCUACAAGUUAGAUUCUUUAUUGACGACAGCUGCUUAUACUUCUUUAGGGAAGUCUAAUUUGAGCGUAUCAACUGGUGAUGUUAAUGAUCACCGCUCUAUCUCUGGUUACAUAAUUUAUCUAAGUACAAUGCCUAAGAAGGUGCUCUCGUAAGCAACCUAUUGUCUCUCGCUCCUCCACUGAGGCUGAUCAGUAUCGAGUGGUUGCUUUUGCCUUGUCUGAAACAAAUUGGAUCACCCACUUGCUCAAGGAUCUUCAUGUUCCACUCACUGCUGCUCCUACAAUACUUUGUGAUAACCUUGGAGUCACCUACAUUGCUGAAAAUCUGAUAUAUCAUAGAAAAAUGAAGCAUCUCGAGGUUGAUUUUCAUUUUGUCCGCAACCAAGUUCACAAUGGCCUAGUUCAAGUAUCACACAGUCACUCCACUGAUUGAAUUGCAGAUCCGCUCACCAAACCACUGUCGAAGACAGCCUGUCAAUGCAUGCUUCCCAAGUUACGUGUUGUCCCUUCACACCCAACUUGGGGGGGGGGGAGGGGAGGCGUAAUAGAGCACGUGCUACUCAGUAGUUGCUACAGAUUAGGACUUCAAUUACUUUAUAAGAACUCACGUAAUAUAGGACUGUUCACGUAGUUUAUUUGCUCGCCUAUUUCCUAGGAAGUUAGCUUUAGCACAAUCUGUUCACUUUUCUUUGUAUAUAAAUUAUACUGGAGACUCAUUAAUAAUGCACAAUUUUUAUUCUACUUCUCUGCAAUUAUUUAUGGUUGGUCAACUGUGCGGGAAUAGACAUGACACAGCCACGUUGGCGCUUUUGUCAAUCAACAACAACGUCUCAAUGCCAAACAAGUUUGAAGAUAUUUUGGUUGAUAGUUUACUUAAAAUAUUGACUCCUAUUUUAUUUUUUUGGUGAAUUAAAAUAAAAAUAAAUAAAACCCAAAAGGAAUAAGUACAAGCAAGGAAACUAGAUCUUACCUUACCGAUGUAUGAAAUUUACGAACCUCUUAACAAGAAUUCUUCCUUCUAUUAUGAGUUAGCCAACUUUUAUUUUCCUCCUUUUAAUCUGUUUUCACAUUAAUCUUUUUGCUACUUAUUUUCCUCAUCCAUAUUAAAUUGUUUUCACAUCAAUCUUUUGGCUACUUAUUUUCCUCCAACUUAUUAAUCUGUUUUCACAUAUUGGAAAUUAGAGUUUAUUUUAAAUUUCUUUUUGCCUCUCUCUCCUUCAUUUGUAUUUGCCUCGGAAUUUUUACACAGAUAAUGUGUAGAACCUAAACUCUAAUGAGAUUAAAAACAUGAAUAGAUUAAGCACCUUUUGAUAAUACAAUCAAUUCCUCUUUUAAACUCCUUCUCAAGACCUUCCCUUUUCCUCAGAAACUCAUUACACACCCUCAAAUUAUUCCUAUUCUUCGGUAAUCUCAACAAUUCACUAAUUUCGGAACGAGCCUACACGAUUUCAAAUUAGUCGGAUUUUAAUAUGAAUAUUGAAUAACAAAUGAUAAAGAAUAUUAAAAACAAAAUUGUCUGCGCUUCGCGCGGCUAUAAGAAAUAUAUAUUGGACAUUAAUAUAUAUUCCAUGUGUCCCAUUUUAUGUAACACUUUUCGAAUUUCGAGAUUCAAACAAGUUUAUCUUUGACCGUGAAUUUUUCAUAUAUCUUUUAAAUAUUUUGAAUUGCCAAUUAUUGUGACUUAUAGUACUUUUUACGUAGUUUAUAAGUAUAUAAAUUUCAUUUCAAAAAGUUUGGUGAUUCCAUGCACAAAUUCACGGUCAAACUUAAACUGUUUGACUCUCGAAAAAUGAAAAGUGUCACAUAAAUUGGGACAGAAGGAAUAAUAGUUAUAUUCAUAUUAGUAUCAAAUAUAUAGGAUAUUGAUAUUUUCUUCAUCUGUGAUAUGAUACAUUUUUUUAAAUCUUUUUUAAACAUAUAAAAAUAAUAUUUUUUUACAUCUUUUAAGAAUAAACUAUUCAUAUGUCACUACAACAAAAACACCUCUUAGCGGUAAUAAAUAUACACAUUAACAAUUUAAAGAGUGUUAAAGCAUUUACCUGCAUUAGCAUCCAAUGUCGCUAAAGGAUCUAGGGACAUAUACAAAGAGUAUUAAUUGCCACUAAAAGUAUAUAUAUUUAGUGACAAUCAAGUUAUUGCCACUAAAGAUCAUUUUUGAUGUAGUGUGUAUAUAGUAGAAUAAAAUAUUUAGGUGAAGUAAAUGAAAUAUGAGAUCAUAUUUACAUAUUUUUUUAGGAUCCUCUAUACAAAUUCUAAUUUCGUAGAAAAAACUUUUGAAGUUCUUCAUUGUGUCUUUAUUAUUAAAUUUAUUUAUUGUAAUUUUUUAAACAUUAAUUAAAUAUUUAUAAAAAUUAUGAAAAAGAAACAUGAAAAAGUUAUAAUAAUAUUUAAGAGUAGAAAUUACAAGUAAGAUGAAGAGACAUGAGUUAUGAAACUUAUAACAUAUUAAUUGCAUUAAUAAUCAUGUAUUAAUUUUAUUUGUAAAACAAACAAAUAAAUAAAUGUGAAAAUAAGGGAUAGAAAUACAAUAAUGAACAAAAAAAUAAAGUAAUUGGUGACUGCAUAAAAAAUAUAAAUACAUUUGAAAUAAAAAAGAAUAGUGACGAAAACAUAUUGUUACAUACAAAAAAAAAAAAAGACAUCAUAGAAUUAAUAUUUUAUUUUUUAAUUAUUUUUUGACAAGCAUGAUAAAAAUGAAGCUUAUGAUCAUCAUAAAAAAAAUUUAAGAAUGGAUUAGUUAUAUUAAUUGUGCUUCAUAACAAAAAAAAAUAAAAAUAGAAUAGUAAAGAACCAAAUGAGUAGCAUUGUCAAUACAUGUAGUUAAGUUACUUACACAAACUAAAGUUUGAAACUUUAGCAAAAAGUAGCUACCUUACCAAUACAAGUCAAAGUAAAAAAAUUAUAGCAAAAGUAAUCCUUUAUUAUGCUUCAAAAAAAGUUUUUGUUCUACCAUCUUCCUUUGCAAGUAGAUACGCCGUCAUAUUUUAUGUUUCAUAUGUCAAACUCUUCAGCAUAUGCUACCAAUUGAAUAAAAAAACAUAAUUAUGAAUAAAUAAAAUAUCAUACCAAUUUAAAGUAAUUAUACUAAAAGAAAGAAAUAAAUCUAAACUAUAUUUAAUAUAUCUAUAAUUAUGUUUUCAAUUUUACUAACUAUAAAUAAUAACCAUCUCUUAAAAUUUAACAAAUAUUGUAAUCAAACUCUAUUAUAUCCGCAAAUUGACUAUUAGAGAGAACAAUCACAUACUAACAAUACAUUGUUCAUUAUUACAAUUUUUUUUAUCAUACUUGCUUGGAGAAUGAUAAUACAUAAAUAAAAUAUUAAGAAAGCAUGUCCAAAUACAUAAAAAUAAAAAGAGACUUGAGAAUGAAAUAUUUCUUACCUUCCAUCUACUUCUUUUUCGUUACAUGUUAAUUAAAUUCACAAACUAAUAUGAUGAAGAAGAGAAAAUAUAUUCUUGAAUGUGAAUUUUCAUGACAUUAAAUAUGAGUUUAUAUAAGCAAAAUGUAGAAAAUGGAAAGAAAGACUUGAGAAUGAAAUAUUUUUCACCUUAGCUUCAUGUACUUCUUUUUUGGUUACAUGUUAAGUUAAUUCACAAACAAAUAUGAUGAAGAAGGGAAAUGAUAAUCUUGAAUGUGAAUCUCCAUGAAACUAAAUAUGAAUUUAUAUAGGCAAAAUAGAGGAAUACUAUAAGAUAUCAUAAACUUACAAUUAAUGUUUGGAGGUUAUGGACAUGAAAAUUAUGAGAGUCUUGAAUAUUAUUAAAAAGGUUUAAUCUAUCGGUGGCCCCCUAAAAUUGACAUUAUGUUUCACUUAGACAUCUUAACUAAGUCAUGUUCAUUUUAGACACCUCAUGUAGAAUUUCGUUAUGUCAUUUUGACACUUUUUUUAAUGUCAGGAAAAAUAUAUAGUGUGUGUAUUACACUCACGAAUAACGUAUAAAAUGACAAAUUAAACGAUGACAUUUGUCAUUUGUGUCAAAUGUAAUUUUUAAAUAAGUAAUUUUAAGUAAAAAAUAAAAAUAGACCAAUGAAUUAAUGACAUAUGACACAAAUAAAAUAAAAAUUAAAUAUAAAAUCAAUAAAAAGAACCCNNNNNNNNNNNNCAACCAAAAUCCCCUCCCGAAUUGGUUCCCCACCCCCCGCCACCCACACACAAACAAAAUGUCUUUUGCAGCAAAACUGGCCGCCCCGUUGGCAUUUCCUUUUUGCUGAAACAUCCGCAGCUAUGAUCAUUUUCUUCCUUUUUUUGGGCUUAAUAAAUAGCUUGAUGGCGAAUGGAAAAUUUUUGUUAGUUUAAAGAAAUUUUUUACUUAGUUUAAAGAAAUCUACUCAGUUAUUUUGUUGAAAUCUUCGUUUACAAUGGAUGAAAUUUAAUUUAGGCAAAAAUGGUGGCAAAAAAUGGGGAAAAGGAAGAAAAAAUAAUUUAAAUUAAUUAAAUAAUUAUUUCACCCGUCAAUCAAUGAGUGUAAUACACUCAUUAUGUCAUGUAAACAAAAAGUAUCAAAAUGACACAAUGAGACUCUAUAUGGAUUAUCUAAAAUGAACAUCAUUACUUAGUUAAGGUGUCUAAGUGAAAUAUGAUGUCAAUUUUAGGAAGUCGCCGAUGGGUUAAGCCUAUUAAAAAUAAAAUUUAAAGAGGUGUAAGUCAUGGGUAAUUACUCCUCGUAAAUAAAUUAAGUAAUAAGAAAAAAACACUUAAAAUAUUAAAAUAUAUUAUCAUUUUAUGAUUAAAAGUGAGGCUAACAAAGAAAAAAGAAUGUGAAGAGUCUUUGUUAUAAAUGUUACUCCAUUAAUAAAAUAUUUAUUUAUAAUAAAUUAAGUAAUUUACUUCUAUAACACAAUAAUUAAUUUAAAUAAGAAAAAAAAUGUCAAAAAAAAAAGAAAAAAAGAUAAAUACAAAUGGAGGCCAUAGAGAGAUUUUACAUCUCUAUAUUUCUCAUUUAUUAUAUAUAUAUAGAUUGGGAAAAGGGCAAAUGUACAUUUAAUUUCUAACUUUGCAGGUGAUAUGUCCCAUUAAAGAGUGACACAUUUAUACUUGUCAUCCAUCUAAAACAUGAUUACUCUUUCGUUAACAAACUCAUUAAAUUAGAAAAAAAAAAUCUUAAAACUUAUUUUUACUUCUAAAAGUACGAUGUAACCUUUAAAAAACUAUCUUUAUCCAUUGUUUUUAAUCUCUUGAGGCCCGACUUAGUUAAAAAAAUGGAUGUUCAUGUGACAAUGAACUUGAAUACCCCUUGUUAACAAAGUAUUCAACAAUUUGCAUUUAUAAAAAUAAUUUUGUUAUUUGUUACUUUGCCUUAUUAUUGACGAGUGCAAUUCAUGCAUUAGAGUAUGUUUAUAGAACCAACUUAAAUUAGGAUAAGAUGUUUAGAUGGUCAUAAACAAAAGUUAAGGUUCACAAUACGAUACAUUAUGAAACAAUAUGUAACAAUAAUAAUGAAAUCAAGGUCCUUUCUAGAUUUAUUUAUUUUUUAAAAAGAAGAGAAAAUACAGGUAAAAAUAGGAUUUCAUGUACUCAAAUUUGACUUUGAGAUGCAUAAUGUUCUACAUUAGAUCAUACUUGUGUUUAAGAGACAUUAUAAUUAAGUUAAUGUAUCUAGAUGAUCCCUGGAUACAUAAUUUUGGUAUCAAACGGAUAAUUAAGGAAAAAUUUAAGUAUCUACCUACGUAUUUUAGCAAAAAUAAAAUAUGAGGAAGUUAAAUAAAAUCAACUAAAUAUCAGGUCCAUAUAAUUUAGUUCUUGCUUACGUGAAGUUGUGAAUAUAGGAAAUCUUAGCCUCCAAUUCCUUUUCAGGUUCAUAUUAUUAUAACAAUAAAUGUUGCCCUUUUCAUUUGAAUUUGAUUGAAUAUAUUAUAUUUUGGAAUUAAAAGAAAACAAAAAUAAAAAUAAUAAAAUAGAUUUAGAAAAAAAAAAUUAAAAAAAAAAGUGAAACCACAGGUGACAACAUGUGUAGUAGUGUGUGUCGCGUUUGAUUUUCUUCUAAAGAAAACAAUAAAAUUUCUUCCAUUUUGUGCUAAUUAGUGAAUGUGUGUUGUGUAACACAGCCUCGUAAAUUUGAUUUUAAAGAUUACUCCUAUUGACUUUGCUCUCAAGUCUUAAUAAUAUAAUGAAAAUUAUAGUCUAUACUUUUAAUCUGUCUUUACAUUAGUCUGUUUGUUACUUAUUUUCCUCGUAUGAAUCUGUUUUCACAUUUUGGAAAUUAUAGUCUAUACUUNNNNNNNNNNNNNNNNNNNNNNNNNNNNNNNNNNNNNNNNNNNNNNNNNNNNNNNNNNNNNNNNNNNNNNNNNNNNNNNNNNNNNNNNNNNNNNNNNNNNNNNNNNNNNNNNNNNNNNNNNNNNNNNNNNNNNNNNNNNNNNNNNNNNNNNNNNNUCUUAUUGAUUCUUCUCUUUCUAAUUCAAUUUUCUAUAUCACUUGCUUCCUCUAAUGAGACUGACCAACAAGCUCUAUUAGCUUUCCAAAAUCUUAUUACAAGUCCCACUCAUUUUUUGGCCAACAAUUGGACCAAAAAUGCUUCCUUUUGCUCUUGGUUUGGUGUCACUUGCUCUCCAAAAAGGCAAAGGGUUGUGGCCUUGGCUCUUCCUAAUUUGCAACUUCAAGGCACAAUUUCCCCAUCUUUGGCCAAUUUUGUCCUUCCUCAGUGUUCUCAAUCUCCAGAACAACAGCUUCCACGGUGGCAUCCCUUAUGGUAUUGGCCACAUGCCUCGCUUGCGAGUGAUUGGCGUUAAAAACAAUCAGCUUAACGGAAGUAUACCAACAAGUCUAUUUCAAAACCGGAGAGUUCAAGUAAUUUCUUUGGCUUUCAAUGAACUCAGUGGUGAAAUGUGGAGAGGGCCAUGGUAUGUACCCGAACUCAGAGUCUUAAAUCUCGGGAACAAUAACCUCACCGGUAUAGUCCCUCCUUCUGUUGGAAAUGCCACAAAAAUGAUGAACUUCAGUUUGUCUGGGAAUAGAGUCAGCGGCAACAUUCCAAAGGAGGUCUGUAAUCUGAGCCAGCUGGCAUUUUUUUCCUUGUUCGAUAAUCAAUUAACAGGUUCCAUUCCCGCAACACUGUUUAACAUCUCGUCACUACUUGUCGUAACUCUGGCAAAGAAUAGCCUUUCUGGUCCUCUCUUGCUAGAUGAAGGCAAUAUUGUGUCGAAUCUGUACAUUUUAAGGAUGUCUCACAAUCAAAUUUCUGGUUGCAUUCCUUCCAACAUAUGCCAACUCACACAGCUCAAAGUUUUGUCCAUAUCUUUCAACAAUAUAACCGGAGACAUACCUAGAAAUAUUGGUUGUUUAUCCAAACUCGAGAAUUUUUAUAUGGGUGAUAAUCCAAUAAAAGGGACUAUUCCCACUUCAUUGGGAAAUAUUUCCACUCUGCAUAGUCUUUACUGUGGAAACAAUCGCAUAGUGGGGAAAAUUCCUCCGGAAUUAGGGAAGCUAUCAAAUUUGAGGGAAUUAAUCUUUACCCAUAAUUCUAAUCUUAUCGGUCAAAUUCCAGAUGCUAUUUUCAACAUAUCUUCUUUGGAAGUGAUUAGUUUCAGUCUCAAUAGCCUCUCAGGGAGAAUUCCAACCACUACAGGUCUUCAUCUUCCGAACCUUAAAGUACUUGAGUUGGGAGUCAAUCAGCUGGAAGGGGAAAUUCCAUUGUUCAUAACAAAUGCUUCCAAGCUUCAGACACUGGGGCUAGAAUUUAACUCUCUCACGGAAGCUAUUCCUACUAAUUUGGGGAAUCUUCAUGAGCUGCGAUCACUCUUACUACAUCAUAAUCAACUUACCAAUGUAUCAAGAGAGCGUGAGUUGCUAUUCUUCAAUUCUUUGGCGGACUGUAGGAUGUUGAAAGAUCUAGAAGUGGGUAACAAUCCGUUAAAUGGCGUUCUGCCCAAUUCAAUUGGGAAUCUCUCAUCUACUAUUGAAAAUUUUUAUAUAGGAGAUGCACACAUCAAUGGCCUCAUCCCCAAAAUUAUAGGCAACAUGACCGGUCUUACAGCCCUAAGCCUUAGAGGAAACAACUUGGCGGGAAGUAUUCCUUCUGAGAUUGGUAAGCUUAAACAACUCCAAGGGCUGUCUCUACCUAACAAUAAAUUGCAGGGACAUAUUCCAGAGGUGGUAUGCCAUUUAUCGAAUUUGUUUCUAUUAUAUCUGUAUGGUAAUGAGCUCUCUGGAUUAAUUCCAGAAUGCUUUGGAAAUCUUAGCAUGCUACAACAUCUUUAUUUGGAUUCUAAUAAAUUUUCAUCAAAAUUUCCGUUGAGCCUUUGGAAGAUGAGUGGUCUUCUCUAUCUAGACGUGUCACAUAAUUCAAUAGAAGGAGAAGUUCCCCAGGAUAUUGGAGGACUGAAAGCCAUUGUAGAACUAGAUCUUUCCAGUAACCACUUUUCAGGAAUGAUAUCAACCAGAUUCGGGGAACUCCAAAAUCUGCAGUAUCUUGACCUAUCGAACAAUUCAUUUUUUGGCCNNNNNNNNNNNNNNNNNNNNNNNNNNNNNNNNNNNNNNNNNNNNNNNNNNNNNNNNNNNNNNNNNNNNNNNNNNNNNNNNNNNNNNNNNNNNNNNNNNNNNNNNNNNNNNNNNNNNNNCAUCCUUUCUGAUAUUCUUGUUGGUUUCAAUUUGGAUAAUGAAACGACAAAAGAAAGGGAGGUCCAAAGAUGUGGAGAAGGUACUGGAGAUCGGGACUCAUCAAUUAGUUUCUUAUCACGAGAUUCAGCGAGCAACAAAUAAUUUUGAUGAUGAAUCAAAUUUAUUUGGUGAGGGAAGCUCUGGCUCUGUGUACAAAGGCACAUUAUCUAGUGGAACUGCAGUGGCAAUUAAGGUUCUAGAUUUGGAAAAUGAGCAAGUAUGCAAGAGGUUUGAUACCGAAUGUGAAGUGAUGAGAAAUGUUAGACACAGAAAUCUUGUUCCAGUGAUUACUACAUGUUCUAGUGACUAUAUAAGAGCCUUUGUUCUGCAAUUUAUGCCCAAUGGAAGUCUUGAGAAUUGGUUGUACAAAGAAGAUCUCCACUUGAACCUUCAUCAAAGAGUCACUGUAAUGCUUGAUGCAGCUAUGGCAGUUGAAUAUCUACAUCAUGGUCAUGUCAUCCCAAUAGUUCAUUGUGACCUAAAGCCAGCCAACAUUCUUUUGGAUGAAGAUAUGGUGGCUCAUGUUGGUGAUUUU